This 65930-nucleotide long non-coding RNA is filed under the name Vitis vinifera (wine grape). RNAcentral describes it as "long non-coding RNA (VVIN_LNC006040)". Lineage: Eukaryota; Viridiplantae; Streptophyta; Magnoliopsida; Vitales; Vitaceae. The record is from RNAcentral.
GAAAGACUCCGGUGAUGAUAAUAGUACGCAAGACUUCAUGGAUGUGAUGCAGUCAGUUCUUGAUGGCAAAAACCUUGGUGGUUACGACGCUGAUACCAUCAAUAAAGCCACAUGCAUGCCUGGUAUGAGUUAUUAAUGAAGCACCCACGUACCAUUUAUAUUUGCAUAUUAUCAGGGCUAGCUUCUUUUCCACAGACAGUUUUUCUUUUGUUUAUAUGUUUUAAUUGAUGCAUAUUCACUUUCUUCUUCUCUUAAUUAAAUUGCAAUAAUUAAACAUACAAUUUAAAUAAAUUUUAAAUUUUAUUUUUAACUAAAAACAAAAGUAUACAUAUACAAAUAUAUAUUGCUUAAGCAAUUAAUUUUUAAAAAUUAUUCUUUCAGAACACCUUAGACAAGUUGAGACAUGCUUCGAGGGAAAUCUAAAUAUAAUGAUUUUAAAAGCUACUUUGUAAUUUUAUUUUCGAGCAUGUUGCAUAAUAUAUGCUUUCCUUGAAUUGAUUUUCUAAAUUUUAUUUUUGUCAGCAAGAAAGGGUUAUCUACGUUUUGGAAGUUAUCUUUAAUUUCCCCUGCAAAGAAUAAGUGUGUGGACCCUGCAUUUCGGCUCAAUGCGUUUCCCACUCGAUGGCGAGCUCGAUUUUUAUUUGAAAAAUGAUUUUUAUUGAUUAUUUAGAAAAUGACUUGGAGUCGCCACUUAUUUUUGUUUUAUUUUUAAAGGGUAAACAAAAUAAGAAAGAAAAACCCUAAGUGUGACUCCUUAUUUUGGAAAAGGUGGUCUGUGAAAAACUGAAUCGGGUUCAGGGGUCAGGUUACUUAUUGGGAAGGUACGGUAUGGACCGUAGCACCCCUCUAAGUCCCUAAAGUCGGGUCUCUACUAAUGAGAUGAAGCUGACAUGGCAAUCAAUGAGAAAAUCAAUGAAUACUCGAAUCAAUCAUGCACAUAUGAGAGACAAAGCAUGUAUAAAGAAUGAGCAAAAUAUGAAUAGAUGCGUACCUGGGCGACAAUCACGAAUGCGCUAUCAUGAAACAUGGUUAGUGAACAAUAAACAUAUAUAAUUAAGCGCAUAUCAAGGAAUAGAGUAAAUCAAUCAUGCAUGACAAAUAAAUCAAUCAAUCAUGGAAUCUCAUAUGUAGGGCCCCCACCAAAACCCAAUUCAUUUUUGCAUGAAUCAAUUCCAUAAAUUCCAUCACUUGGAAUUACGGAAUUUAAUUCUUACUUAUUUUUAAAACAUUUUAAAAACCAAGAAAAUGCACAAGUGGCUUGCCGGAAGGAAAAUGGCAACCAAAUUUUAUUGAAAAUGGGAUUUAAGAAGAUUAUUUUCAAGAAAACAGGGGAUGAGAGAAUAGAAGGAAAUGGCACAUGGUCAAGAGCUGCAUGCCUAAGGUGGCCAUGCAAAAACACUUCCCUCUAAGCUCAGGGUGGAGGGACUGCACUAUAAGGAUCAGUGGUGCUGCAGAGCUUGUCAGAACAGCUGAUGGCAUCAUAGGUGUUGCUCCUGAUUGCCUGAAAGAAUUCAUCUCUAAUGGACGGAAUCGAUUGCUCUACAUGAUUAUUCCAGAAGGUAAUGGUUGAGUCCUUAGCUUCACGAACCCAAUUUUUUAUGUCAUUACUUCCCAUCAAACUACCAUGACAUAGGAGCCACACUGAGCAAACUGAUGAGCCCGCUGCCCCACAUGUAUAGGGAAUCCAGUACAAAGUUAAUUUCCGCGGUUUACGAUGUUCGGAAACAAGGAUACUUAGGUAAGAAUCCAGCUUAUACAUGAUAAAUCACGNNNNNNNNNNNNNNNNNNNNNNNNNNNNNNNNNNNNNNNNNNNNNNNNNNNNNNNNNNNNNNNNNNNNNNNNNNNNNNNNNNNNNNNNNNNNNNNNNNNNGUGGAUGCCGCCUAUGAUACUAGCCUCAGAAAUCAUGCCAUUGACAUCGUUGUGCUUGUUACUAUUGCCAUCUCUAUCUCACAUGUGAGAGCCCUUGAUGGAAUCAAUUAAAAUAAUCCUUGAUAGAAACGUGGACUUCAUGUCUCAAAUCUGGCCUUUCAUAUCUCCUCAUUUGUCCAUGUCAACUAUUGUCACCAAGCCAUAAGCCUCUUGAUCCCAUGAUAACCCCAUUAUUCAACCCAAUACUUCAAUGAUGAUUCUCUUUCAUUUGCAUUCCUGACCUUCUCUUAUCUCCAUUACUGAUCCCAUGGAUGUUUACAGGAUUGAGUAUUUGGACGAGAGCAAACUUUGAUUAGAACCCUGUAUCAUGUUGAGUCUCUGCCAGCCUGGAAGGAUAAAAAUCACGUUGCCCCAUAUGGUGAGUUUUACUUUGAUUUACUCUUCCUCCUUGAUUCGUAUAAUGCAAGAAGGACAGGAGUUAAAAUGUCACGGAUAGCAUGAUGGCAAUGCCCAAAAGUAGCGUCAGUGUACAUUUGAGUCAAACGCGACUCCAUAUCAAACAUUGGCGGCCAGCGUCCAAGUCAAAGGGACGUAGUGCCCAUAAUUCACUGUUGAUAUUCUUCUUUCUGGGGAUGGAACAGAUCCAACUUCAAGGAUUGGGUGAGUCUCCUAAGAACUUUUCAUAAGGAUGGAUGACUGCCCAACAAUGCACUCAGGUUCCAUCAUUGCAAAGCCUCAACAGACUGCAUGCACCAUUCGUCGCGUACCUCACGACAAAUGUGAGUCUGGUUAAUCCCGUAGGAGGACUCCAAGCAGCAUGCAUAACGUACCUCUUCGGAAUAUCACAACGAGACCCACUGGUGCCCUCGUCUGAAUACCCCUCCGCCUCUCAUUCAAGUAAUGGGUGUUGGACCCAUGUAUGCAUGCAAAGAUGGAGGAGUGAAGUGGUGAGAGAAAGGAUGUAUGGAUUUAGCUGCGAGUAAGGUCACGGGUAUGGGAGGAUGGAUGCGGUGAAGACCUUUGAGGGUGAUGAAAAAUGGUGCAUGGAGUAAGAUAGGCUAAAGUGGAAAUGCGUGGUAGAAUGGGCAUAGGAGUAUCAUGAGAGAAGUGUGCAGGGACUACAUGCAUGUGGGUGGCUAGGGAAGUAAAAGAUGGGUUCAACAGUGAAACGUAUGGGAAUGAUGAGAGGGAAAGCGGAUUAGCAGAUGGGGUUAAUGAGUGAUAUGAAGAAUGGGGUAUGAGACCUGGGUAUAAGGUGAAAUGAAUAUGACAUGGUUAUGCAUGGCCAUGCCAUGGCCAUGCAAGAACAUGAUGGAAAGGGAGUGACGGAUGUAUGAAUAAUGGAGAGCAUGAGGAGGUAUGGGAUAGAUGAACAGGGCUGGAUGGUGGAUGAUGAAUAAGUAAUGGUGAAAUGGGUAUGAAAGAGUUUGAAGAGAGAGAAAAGGUGGUAAUGUGGAAUGGGUUUGAUAGGUGGGAGUACAAAGUGGGUAUGAAGAUGGGUAUGAAUGGUUUAGUAGGUACGAGACAAAUGGGUUAGAUGGAGGGUAUAAUGGGUGAUGUAAUGAUGGAAACCCGGGCGUUUAUUCAUCUUUGGAGGCACGAUACCCGGGUCAUGAACAGAUGGAUCACACUUCUUGGCCAGCUGCAUUCAGGCCAUAGUCAAUACAACCGACUUCGCUACCUCCAUUUCCAGGCACAGUGAUUGACACAAAGGAAGGUAACUUCCCAAUAAUCAAGCUUCUUUCGAUACAAGGUCUGCAUGGCUUAGCCGAGUUCAGUUUAGUUGGGUGUCGAAUCCCAUUGGUCAGUAGACCCAUUUGGAGCGAAACUGAACCCUUUAAUCCAAAUGGACCGUUACAGAGAGCACAAAGCAGCAGUAGGAUUAGCAAGACCCAGAGCAUAAGAGCGGGCUGUGACCAUGGCAGAGAUUCCAAAUUAGAAAGCAAGCACAAAACCAUCCAUGGAAGAGGUUAUCCAAGGUUUUGGAUGCUUAUGAAGUUUUCCCGCAAGUUGAACGAAUCUGUAACAGAGUGCCUUCUGAUCUAACCUGCAUAGUUUCAACAUGUACCACACCAUCCCCAUUCACGGUACCUCCAAUCACUAUGUCACCCUUCUUUCUUCGCCAUAGGCCUAGCAUCCUCUGUGAGCAUGUUCUUGAACCCACAAUCUCCCGCUUUACCUCAUGGAAACAUGUCAACCAAAAUAGCCCACCCAUCAAGUGACUGAUUCAACUCUGAUACCCGACAUCUCAGAUGCACCAACAACAGAAGCACAAAAGGGUAGGAAAUGGGGCCAAAACAGAAAAGAACGAAGGAAGGAUAAACGAGGAAUAAAGUAAAACAUAAGUGUAUAGAGCCUCAUUUCAGGUGACAUCCAUGGGCUUAUACAAGUGAGGAGAUCUCAAGUUAGAGUUACAGAAUAUAUGAGGAACCGAGUUCUAUUAACUCCAAGCCAAACCACAAGAACAGCAGUAAAAUCAACAACAAUAGAGUAUAAAAACGAUCCAGAAAUCAACAAAAUUCAGUACGUAUGACCCAACUCAAAUUGAUGAGCAAUGCAGAGCAAACCAAAAUGAGAAAAGGGUGAGAAAAAUAUGAAUCAAAGUAAGCAAGAAACUCACCUCAAACUCACCUGCAGACGCUCCUCUCUCUAUUCCUUCAUUCUCUAAGCUUCAGCUAGCCAAAAACAACGCCCAGAAUCUCCGUCACACAGCCACCCAAAACCUCCUCCUCUGCAGCCUCGAACCUCUCUGCCAACAAACAGCAACCAAAAGCACCUCCCCCUCUCGGAAACUUCUUUCUCCCUAAAAAAAAACUCUCAGACCAGCCUCUCUAAAGCUCCCCCUCUCUCAAGUUCACCGUCCAAAAUUACUCCUCUCAUGGAAAAACUCCCUGGAAUCCCCUCAGCAGCCCCGGUACCUCCAGCUAAAAGAAAAUCACCCCCCCCGGUUCUCAUGUCUCUCUCACCUUUUUUUCUCUCUAGCCAAAACCAGCUUUCUUUUCCUCCCUUUGGAAAUAUCUCCCUAACGGCCAGACGACACCCACCUGCCUUGCAGCUGCAAGCCUCCACUCCCCCCUAUGCAGCUGGCAGCCUCCCAAAAUCAACCCAACAAAAGCUCUUCCCCUAAAGAUUUCUGCCACCUUCCUCUUCUAGGCAAUAUCUCUUUUCUGUCCCGGAUUUGCCCCUCCAACAAUCCCUGUAGCCACCUCCAGCACCACUACACUCUGCAUGCAACUGGCAACACCUCCUAACGGAAAGCACGCUCCCUUCUUCUAGAAUGUUCUUCACUUUCCAGGUGUCUUCCUCUUAUUAGUCCAUCAAUUCCACCAUAGUGAUUCCACUAGUAGCCAACCCGAGAGUGACACGUGGCCAUGCGAGAUGGUGACACUUGUCCAGCAUCAGCUGCAAGAAUGACUCCCAAAAUGGGGGUCUACAACUAUGCCCAUUUUCGGUAGAGUUCACAAGUGUAAGGAAAAUGAACACUGGAAUGAAAGGUAGGUGUGAAUAGUGAGUGGAAUGAAGUGAACUCUACCGAAGAACCAAGGAGACCCCCAUAGGGACACUAGCAAAACACGAAUUCGCUCAGGCUGACAGACUGACACAAAGGCUCUGAUCCUAAAACAAAAUGAUGUCUCAAAAUGCCUCUGAGGCCAUACUAAGGAUCCAAGCUCCCUUUAACAUGCCUCCAAAAGUGACCCGAAGAUCGAUGUCAAAAGUGAGUAACGGUCGAACCACCCUGGAGUACGAACAAGAAUGCGUCUAAAGGAGACUGCCCUAUGUGGACUAUGAGAUGAAUAGGUGAUAAGCACAGGGUAACGAGGUGAGAAGAGUGAGAAUAAGUGCAAAUCCAUGAAGGUGAGAUGCGCAAUGCCAGUGAAUAUGAACGCUAGGGGCUGCGACUCUGAAUGACGAGACUGACCCUAAACGCUAAACUGAGAAAAACAAUGGCUCUGGAAGCCAGACCAAAAACUAACUCUAAAAACUAAACUAGAAUAACAGCUCUGGAAGUCAACCAAAAACUAACUCUAAAAGCUAAACUAGAAAACAACAGCUCUGGAAGCCAACCAAAAACUAACUCUAAAAACUAAACUAGAAAAUAACAGCUCUGGAAGCCAACCAAAAACUAACCCUAAAAGCUAAACUAGAAAACAAACAGCUCUGGAAGCCAACCAAAAACUAACUCUAAACUAGAAAAUAAUAGCUCUGGAAGCCAAACUGAAAACUAACUCUAAAAGCUAAACUAGAAAACAACAGCUCUGGAAGCCAAACCAAAAACUAACUCUAAAAACUAAACUAGAAAAUAACAGCUCUGGAAGCCAACCAAAAACUAACCCUAAAAGCUAAACUAGAAAGUAACAAACAGCUCUGGAAGCCAACCAAAAAACUAACUCUAAAAACUAAACUAGAAAAUAACAGCUCUGGAAGCCUAAACAAGUCGACAGUAACGACUCUGGAAGCCUAAACAAGAUGAUAGUAAUGGCUUUGGAAGCCUAAACAAGAUGACGGUAACGACUCUGGAAGCCUAAACAAGAUGAUAGUAAUGGCUCUGGAAGCCUAAAUAAGAUGACGGUAAUGGCUCGGAAGCCUAAACAAGAUGACAGUAACGACUCUGGAAGCCUAAACAAGAUGAUAGUAAUGGCUCUGGAAGCAUAAACAAGAUGACAGUAAUGACUCUGGAAGCAUAAACAAGAUGACAGUAAUGGCUCUGGAAGCAUAAACAAGAUGACAGUAACGACUCUGGAAGCCUAAACAAGAUGAUAGUAAUGGCUCUAGAAGCCUAAACAAGAUGAUAGUAAUGACUCUAGAAGCCUAAACAAGAUGAUAGUAACGACUCUGGACGUCGAAACUAAAAAGUGAUGAUGAUGACUCUGAACGUCAAACUGAGAAGUGAUAACGACUCUGAACGCCAAAACCGAGGAUGCGACUCUGAAUGUCGAUCUGAAAACCGAUGAUGGCUCUGAACGCCUAAACUGAGAAAUGAUGAUGAUGACUCUGAACGUCAAACUGAGAAGUGAUAACGACUCUGAACGCCGAAACCGAGGAUGCGACUCUGAAUGUCGAUCUGAAAACCGAUGAUGGCUCUGAACGCCGAAACUGAGAAGUGAUGAUGAUGACUCUGAACGUCAAACUGAGAAGUGAUAACGACUCUGAACGCCGAAACUGAGGACGCGACUCUGAAUGUCGAUCUGAAAACCGAUGAUGGCUCUGCACGCCGUAACUGAGAAGUGAUGAUGAUGACUCUGAACGUCAAACUGAGAAGCAAUGAUGAUGACUCUGAACGUCAAACUGAGAAAGUGAUAACGACUCUGAACGCCGAAACCGAGGAUGCGACUCUGAAUGUCGAUCUGAAAACCGAUGAUGGCUCUGCACGCCGUAACUAAGAAGUGAUGAUGAUGACUCUGAACGUCAAACUGAGAAGCAAUGAUGAUGACUCUGAACGUCAAACUGAGAAAGUGAUAACGACUCUGAACGCCGAAAUCGAGGAUGCGACUCUGAAUGUCGAUCUGAAAACCGAUGAUAGCUCUGAAUGCCGAAACUGAGAAGUGAUGAUGAUGACUCUGAACGUCAAACUGAGAAGUGGCUCUGAACGCCGAACUGAAAAAUGUGACAUGAUGACUCUGAAUGUCGUAAACCGUGAAUGAACGGCGACUCUGAACGCCAGACUGCAAGGAAACAAUGUGGGGGAAAUAUGCCCCAGUGUGACAUGCCGCUGCAAAUCUCAAACUGCUAGAAAUGGCUAAAAGGGACUCUACGAGUCUCGAAAGACGCACCACUAAGAGCUCAUGUCAAUGAAGAGCUCAGGAACAACGGUCAGUGAGGCGAAUACAAUAUAUCUCGGCCGAGUGAUGGAAACCGCGACGGACAUGUGAGAGAACGAUCGCCUCCAUGGCUAAAUGAGGGAAAUACGCCCCAGUAUGGCAUCAGAUGUACCCGAUCUGCCCUGAUGACCCGAGAAUAACACCAUGGGGAUGCAUAAAAGACCUGAUGUGUACCGCACUGAAAUGAUGACAUGGGGAUCCAAGCACUCGACAUAACCCCAUCCAGGAAUCACGACUAUAUCAAAGAGUAUGAAUCUGGCUGAACGAGUCAAGAGAGGCUCCUCGGAGUAUCAGGACAAAAUGAAAUCAAUCAUCAACCUGGCGUGUAUCUCAUAACUGUGGAUGAUCAUGUAAACCAGUGGGGAUCUAUAAAUCUCGAUCAAGAUGGGGAAUAUGCCCCAGUGUGGCAUCGGAAAUGUAACAUGUCGAAAAAUCAGCUGAGCUCAAAUCAUCUAUGCCUGCAACUAGCUAGAUGGCUCUCGAUAGGCUCCACUAAGGAAUCAUCGCGAGGAUAGCGAAUAUAUCAUCAUCCCUGUAUACAUCUCGCAAAUAAGGAUAAGCACGCAACUUCCUCAUGAUCUGUAAAUCUCAUCCGAACGGAAAUAUGCCCCUGUAUGGCAUCGAAAUGUAGGAUAGGUCGGAGAUCAGAUAGCAUGGAAUCAUCUAUCUUAGAACAUGUGACCUCUGCGAAAAUCCAUAAAGAUCCUCCGAAACGGAAUAUGCCCCAGUAUGGCAUCUGACGUGCGACAAACCAGGAAAAACAGGUGACAUCGAAUCAUCCCUCAUCAAACACGUGAUCCUGGUAAUCCAAACACGGUCGAAACGGAUCUAAACAUCUGAGAAGUGUUUCUCAGAAGAAGAUGCAUGGCAAAUAUCUGGAUGUCAACUGAAUCUCAAACACCUGUCCACAUAGAAGCCGUAGAAGACGAUAUCUGAUCCCAUGGCCUCAGGGUGGUCUUAAGACACAGGACGUAAUGUAGGCUAGGGUGAUAGGGUGAUAGAAACGAAGGGAAACUAAGCUCAAAUACCCAAUGAUCAAAACCCAUGCCCUCGUGUGUGAAAUGCAACAUGUACAGAAAAUCCUGUGAGCCCUGGACCUGAGGGUGUCUAAUGUGAAUAUGAUGUCAAUGAGGAAACAAGUGAAGCAAAUCAAACUGAUAAUGAGAUAUGUAAUGGUGAUACGAAGGGAAUAUCAAACCCGAGAUGGGUCUGGUAAGAAAAGAAUGAGAAGUGAAGUGAGAAUGACGAAUCAGAAGCGAAAACGAGGACGAUGAUAAUGAAGCGAAUAACAUCAAAAGGAGUGAUGAUCAACUCAGAUCAGACAUGGAGUGAUGUCACAUCAACUACGAACAUAAUGAUGGAACGUACAAUAACGCAGAGCUCCUAAGAGAAAGUCACUCAUCUCGCUCACAAAAUAUGCAACAAAAUGAAUACAAAGCCUGAGGGAUCCAGGGAAGCUCACAUACGAACUCCCGUCAACAAACAUACUCGAUCAAGUGACCCUCGAAUAUCAAUACAUACACUCAGUGAUGGAUAACAAAACACACUUGAUUUUUAUUUCUUUUUCCAUUUUUUUUUUUUCAUUUUUUUCAUUCAUUUUUUUUUUUUUUUACAACAUAUAAAUGAACUGUACAUGAUCUGAAUGCAUACAAAGAAGACCCAAAGACGGGAUCAAAAAUGAAUAAACAUGCCCUCAAAUAUCAAUAUAUCACAAACUCAAUCUAAUGAGAUGAGGUGACCUUCUCAAACUGAGGAUCCCUGGAUCAGUGUCCGUGGGAUAGAUAGUGGAAAUGGCGUGACUACCCUCCAUGUGAUGAAAUGAGGAGGAUCACCCCUCGGGGUGAAAGAAGAUGACAUGAAACGAAUAGUAGAUAAGAUAAAGAAAAUAUGAUGAAUAACACGAACAGUGAGAUGAGAUGAAAUGCAAUGAUGCAGUGGUGAGCACAGAUAAUGAGAAGAACGUGCCCCUAGGUCCAAGGCUCAUGAAACUCUCAAACAAUGCAUGCAUACACUAAAGGGCCCCAAUCCCGGUGUGAAAAUGUGAGCAAGGCUAUAGAAAAUGAAGGCUAUGAUGCGCGUGUGAGGCUCAAAUGGGCUAGCAAUGGACUAUAUAUAUCAGAAACGGGAUAAAGGGAUAUAGCUAACCGAAAUGAUGGCCACCCAUCCUGCGACCAUGGACUCAAACGUAGUACCUCUUUAGCUGAUCCACAUUGGUCGGCUCUGAGAACUGGUUUCCAUCUAAAUCCAUCAGCCAUGCAGCGCCCUCUGGAGUCAACUUCCUGAUGAAAUAAGGUCCGCUCCAACUAGGUCUGAACUUCCCUCUAGGAUCUCUGAUCAAUCCUCUGAUGACUCUCAAAACUAAGUCACCUACAUGCAGUGGUCUAGGCUUGACCUGCUUUUUGAAAGCGCGGGCCAUCUUCCUCUGAUAUGCACGAACGUGGUCUGCUGCUCUCAAUCUCCUCUCAUCUAGGAGAUUGAGCUGAUCAAAUCGAGCCUGAGCCCAAUCCGUCUGGGGAAUCUGCUGCUCUAGUGCUACUCUCAAUGAUCCCAUCUCAAUCUCAACAGGUAGCACUGCCUCCAUGCCGUACACCAAUGAAUAGGGUGUGGCUCCUGUAAAGGUGCGAAAAGAAGUCCGAUAUGCCCACAAUGCGAAAGGGAGCUUCUCUGACCAAUCCCGAGAAGUCUCAACCAUCUUUCGCAAUAUCCUCUUAAUAUUCUUAUUCGCGGCCUCUACUGCCCCAUUCGUCUGCGGCCUGUACGCAGACGAUCUAUGAUGCCGGAUGCCGUAUCUCUGCACCAAGGUGUCAACCUCUGCUCUGAAAUGCACCCCUCUGUCUGAAAUAAGCUCGUGAGGGACUCCAUAGCGACAAAUGAUGUGCGAUCUAAUGAAACUGACAACUCCAGAUGACGUCAAUCUCGCAUACGAGGCGACCUCCACCCACUUGGUGAAGUAAUCAAUAGCAACAAGGAUAAACUCAUGACCACUGGAAGAUUUCGGUGAAAUCUUCUCGAUGAUAUCGAUACCCCAUACUGAAAACGGCCAUGGUGAAGUCAAUGCAUGCAACUCCGAGGGCGGCACGUGAAUGAGAUCUCCAUGUAUCUGACACUCGGGACAUCUCUGAACGAACUGGCAACAAUCUGUCUCCAUGGUCAACCAAAAGUAUCCUGUCCUCAUGAUCUUACGGGCCAACAUAUGCCCCCCAUAUGUGGUUCGCAGACUCCCGCAUGAACCUCUCGCAUAACUCUAUCGGCAGAAGCGCGAUCCAAACAUAAUAGCAGUAUCCCAUCAAAUGAUCGUCUAUAUAGCGUCUCGCCACAAAUCACGAAUCGGGUGGCCAACUGUCUCAAUGCCCUCCUAUCCUUGGCCGUGGCGGCCUCAGGAUAUAUGCCGAGUCUCAAAAAGUGAUAUAUGUCAUGAUACCAGGGCAAACCAUCGUCUAUCUCCAUAUCAUCAAUCAAACAACAAUACGCAGGAGCAGAUCUCGACUCAAUCAACAAAGGGCGAACAGUGGCAUCAGCGGGAAUGUCGAUCAUGGAAGCUAGAGUAGCUAAAGCAUCAGCAAACUGGUUUUGCGCUCUAGGCAGAUGUGUAUAUCUCAAAUCCUCAAAUCUCGCGACCAGUAGCUCCAAAUACGCGUGGUAAGGCCUAAGCUUCACAUCUCUAGUCUUCCACUCGCCUUGAAUCUGUCUCAAUACCAGAUUGGAGUCACUAAACACCUCCAUCUGUCUAAUCCCAAGCUCGAGGGCUGUCUCUAACCCCAAGAUACAUGUCUCAUACUCAACAAUGUUGUUCGUGGCUGGAUGUCGAUCCGAGAAUGCCAAACGAACAGAUCUGGGAAUGUGAUCACCAUGAGGGGAUAUCAACAAAACGCCUAUCCCGUAUCCAGAAUGGUUGGCUGCACCAUCAAAGUACAUGCGCCAACCCGACAGACUAGUCGCAGCUGCGACGUCCUCGUCUGGAAAAUCAUCGUCAAUAGCUCUGGCAUCAGAAACUGGUAAUGAGGCUAAGUGAUCUGCGACAAUGCUCCCUCUGAUGGACUUCUGAGUGACAUAAUGAAUGUCAAACUCAGUCAGAAGUACCAGCCAUCUCAUAAGGCGACCAACUAGAGCGGGCCUGUCAAACAAAUAUCUCAAAGGAUCAAGACGAGAUAUCAAAUGCACUGAAUACUCGGUCAUGUAAUGUCUCAAUCGGCGAGUGGCCCAAACCAAUGCCAAGCAGUAGCGCUCAAUCGUGACGUAUCUCGUCUCGUAAUCUAGCAUCCUCUUGCUCAGAUAAUAAAUGGCUCGAUCUUUGCCCGAAUCAUCGAGCUGAGCUAACAUGCAACCUAAAGCCACAUCCGAAACUGAUAGGUAUAGGAGUAGAGGAUGGUCUGGUGUAGGCGGAGCCAAAACUGGAGGCGACAACAAGUACUCUCGGAUCCUCUCAAAUGCGCGCUGACACUGAUCAUCCCAAACAGUAGGUUGACUCUUCCUCAAGAGUCGGAAAAUGGGCUCACAAAUGUCUGUCAAUCUGGCUAUGAAUCUACUGAUGUACUGAAGUCUGCCCAGGAAGCCUCUGACCUCUCUCUCUGUCCUCGGUGCAGGCAUGUCAAGGAUGGCUCUAAUCUUGUCCGGAUCUACCUCUAUGCCUCGCUCACUGACCAUGUACCCCAAGAGUUUCCCAGAAGUCACUCCAAAAGUGCACUUCUUGGGAUUCAGCCUCAAUCUAAAUUGUCUGAUCCUCUCAAAGAACCUCUCAAGAGCUGCCAAGUGAUCUGAUCUAUCUCGGGAUUUCACUAUCAUGUCGUCUACAUAAACCUCGACAUCCCGAUGCAUCAUGUCAUGGAAGAGUGUGGUCGCUGCUCUCUGAUAGGUGGCUCCUGCGUUCUUCAAUCCGAAUGGCAUGACUCUAUAGCAAUAAGUACCCCACUCGGUAAUGAAGGACGUCUUCUCCAUGUCCUCUGGAGCCAUCAAGAUCUGACUAUACCCGGAAAAUCCGUCCAUAAAGGACAACAUCGAGUGACCUGCUGUACUGUCAACUAACAUGUCGAUGUGUGGGAGAGGAAAAUCAUCUUUAGGACUGGCCUUGUUGAGAUCUCGGAAAUCAACACAGACUCUCACCUUGCCGUCUUUUUUGGGAACAGGGACGACAUUGGCCAGCCACUCUGGGUACUCGACUACUGAUAGAAAUCCUACACUGAGCUGCUUCUGAAUCUCCUUUUUCACCUGCAAGCUCCAACGAGGGUGCAAUCGUCUCAACCUCUGCUUAACCGGUCUGGCAUGGGGCAGAAGUGGCAAACGAUGCUGGACGAUGGAUGGAUCAAGGCCCGGCAUGUCCUCAUAGGACCAUGCGAAAACGUCCAAGUAGGAUCUGAGCAGCUGGAUGAGACUAUCUCUCUCAUCUGAGGAUAAAUCUGACCCGAUCCUCAACUCCCUAGGCUGAUCUGCGGUGCCGAAAUCAACAAUCUAUGUGUCUCCUACAGCAGGUGAAACCCUCUGAUCAACGGGAUCCGAAUCGGAAACAGAAGAUGAGUCAUCAUCUGAGUCGUGCUGUGCAAUCUCAUCAUCAAUAUCAAAAAUCUGUGAUGUGGGUGAAGAUGGUGCAGAUAAAUCAAUAUCACAAGAGACAGGCAGGUACUAAAAAAUGCUCAAAUCCAUAGAUGAAACAUCGGAAACAAUGUCAGAACGGGAGACAAACCCCGACUGAACGUCAAAUGAAAGAGGUGGGUCCACAAAGUCGGACGCUUCCUCAACAAUGCCAACAUGGCUAUCAAUCAAAUCAUAAAAAACUAUAGCAUCCUUAGUAAUCUCCAGAGCAGGGGCUGUCUGGAUCUCCUCAACGAUCUCGAUGAAAGACACCCCGAAAAGAUCGAAUGGUGAAGUGAGCCCAGGAUGAACUCUCUCCUCGAUCGGGCCCAGGCUCAGGGCGAGCAUCUCGUCGAUGUACUCGUCGUGUGGGACGGCUCCGUCCACUAUGUCUCCGACCCCAGCAAAGGUCUCAUGCUCAUCGGUCUCGUCCGGGAAGCAAAGCGUUAUAAGGCUCGUGCGAUCUGGAGACGAAGGAGCAAUCAACACAGAAGUCGAAGAGCCAGGAGCUCCAUCUCUCAAUCGUAACUGAUGGACAAGGCGCUGAAGCUCGACCUCCUGAGUGGUGCUAAGUCCUCCAAUGAUCACGUCCGCACGGGUCAAUGGCUCUGAUGCCCUCACAAAAUAAUCAGAUAAGCUCCUGGUGUAUGGGCGAAGAGGAUAGUAGAAAGGUGUGUGGGUCAGUCACUCUCUCCUUGCGCAAACGCGCCAUGUAGAGAUAAUCGGCCUCAAUGGGGAUGAACCCGAGUCCGAACGGUACGUCGUGAUCAGGGAUGGCUAUGAACUCGCUCGGUCCAUGCUGACAUCGACCCAACCCCAUGCCGGGUAGAUAGGACAUGCUUCGCAUAAUAUCGAGCACCACUGUGCUCCCAUGCCGGUCAAAGGACAUGGCCACAAAAUCCCGGCAGAAAUCCUCUAUCUCCACAGUCUGCACCUCAUCGAAGGUGAAUUCAGUCAGAAAAAGAUCGUCAUCAGUGUGACUAAUCUCGAGCACAGGCUCGGCAACAAUGAACAUGUCUCCCACAGACUGUACCACGACGACCUGACCAUCGUGAAUAAACUUCACCUUCUGAUGAAGGGAAGAAGGAAUGGCCCCGGCUCUAUGGAUCCAUGGUCGGCCCAGAAGCAGGUUAAAGGAUGUAGGAAUCCUCAAAACCUGGAAUACAGCGACAAAAGUGGCCGGACCGAUCAGCAACUCGAUCUCCAAUGUACCCAUGACCUCUCUACGGGUGCUAUCAUAAGCUCGGACGGUCUGAGUGGAGGGACCGAAAUCAGAAGGAGCGUAUCCAAGGGCGAUGGCAGUGGCAAGAGGACAUACGUUCAGGGCCGAGCCAUUGUCCAAAAGGACAGAUGGGACUCGGCGGCCUGAACAGCCAACAGAUAUGUAGAGCGGACGAGUGUGGUCCGAGCCCUCCGGUGGCAAGUCAUCAUCGGAAAAGACGAUACAAGUGGCUCUGCCAGCCGUCAUCAUAUGAAGGAGUCCCUCGGGAGUGGUCGUGGUAUCAACUCUGAUCUGGCUCAGAGCUCGAGUCAGUGCGUCCCGAUGGGUACUGGAAGACGCUAAAAGGCUCCAGAUAGAAAUACGAGCCUGAGUGCUCUGCAACUGCCUCAAAAUCUCGUCAUCCUCUGCUCUCACCUCCUCCUGGGAUGACGUACCCCCUAAGGGUCUAGCGGGAGCGGCUGGAGGUGGCUGUCUCACUACUCUCCCUCCCCGGAGGAUAUACUAAACGUCCGGAGUCUGAGGAUCAUCACUAUGUGGAGCCUGAACCUCCUCAACAUCUGGGAUCAGAAUGUACGGCGCCUGAACGCUAUAGCGUGUGAAUGUCAGAGGCUCGGAAGUGGCCGCCUGUACAGAUGCUGCCUCAGGAACUAAUCGGAAUGGAGCAGGCAUCUGUGGCUCUAGAGUCACCCCACUCGUCUCGUAAAUCACAGCUGGCAUGAUAGGCUCUGGGUCUGGAUCAUCCCAACUCAACAUAUGGACAUGAUCAUCAGUCUCAUCGAAGUCCAAGAAAUGAAUACCACAAGCUGGUGGAGGAACUGCAUGUGUGGUGUGGGUCGGCAACGGGUUUGUGGUCACACUCGGCUGACCCAAGUGUACCAAACCCUGGUCUAUCAGAUCCUGAAUAGCGUGCCUCAGAGCGGUGCAUCGAUCGGUCUCAUGUCUAGGCCCCUGAUGAUAAGCACAGUGUAAAUCCAUCCUGAACUGAGCUGGAAUAGGCUGAGGUAGUGGCCGAGGGGUGAGAGCAGUCAAUAAACCAGCCUCCGUAAGCUUCCGAAGAGCCUGGCUCAACGGCAUGCCUAUCUGCGAGAACUGCCUCUGCGUCCUCAAAGUAAACGGAGCAGAAGUCUGCUGGGCUCCAGGUCGGGGAUAAGGCGCCGCAGGUCUCGCGGUGAACUGAGCAGCGUAGCAUGGCUGCCCUGUGGCUGUGUAGGAGACCGCGGGUCUCUCAAUGCCCUGAGUGGCAUAAGAAGGUAAAACCAAUGUCUGUGGCAUGUGUGUCUGAUCGUAAGCCGGACGAGGUGCCCGUGGCCUGUACUGAUGAGAUGCAUAGGAAGAAUGAGGCUCGAAAAACUGUGGGAUCGGCUGAUGGCGUCUAAGAGGCCUCUGACUGGAUGAACUGAUAGCACCAACCUCUGUCGGUCUCGGUCCUACGAAUAGUUUCUUCCCCUUAACAUCACUAGGGGAAGAAUCUGCCCAUAAACCUCUCGUGAUGCCGUCCUCGACAUCAUACAAAGCCAUAACCAGAGACCCAAAAUCUGUGAACGGGACCCCGACCACAUGUCUGGCGAUCCCCGGCUGUAGGCUCCUCAAAACCAUCUGAAUCUAGUCUCUCUCUGAUGGUCUAUCCACUAUCUCAGCUAUCUUCCCGCGCCAGCGGGAAAUGAAAGAAGAAACGGACUCCUCUGUCCUCUGCCUUAGAGCCUCGAGCUCUCUCCUCGAUACAUCUACAACAGUGUUAAACGAAAACUGUCGUAGGAACUCCUGGGCCAAGUCAUCCCAUGUACGGCGUCUCGAGGACUCCAGAGACGCAAACCAGCGCUGAGCUGCCCCACUCAGAGAUAGGGGGAAAAGAGUGAUCAUUUGAGGCUCGUCCAGUCCAUGAGCCCUCAUCACGGUGCUAUAAAGUCUGAGGUGGAGGCGCGGACAACCAAUACCAGUGUACCUCUCAAUAUCUGGCAUCCUGAACUUAGUUGGCAAGCUGGCUACCGGCAUACCCCCAAAAUCAUCCCAAACAACUGAUCCAUCUGACACUCUCAUCUGCCUCAUACACUGCUCGAUGCGGUCCAUGCGGGCAUGCGUGUCAUCAGCGACAACGGCCUGGGCGACUACGGGUGGAGUGAUCUCAGAAUGCCCGUGUAAUACAUAUGGUGAUGCCUGAUGCACUGAAGGAACGAGUGGGGGUGGUGGAGGUGGGUGUGAGUCAUAUGGCGUCUCAUCCUGGACUGCUGGUGGUCUACCCUACUGACCACCGAUCUCCUGCCUGAGGCUAGCCAAAGCCUCCUGGAUAGAAGCCAUGGCAGCCGUGAACUGAUCGACCGUGACAACCUGCUGAUCCAUAUCUGGUGUAUCUGAAACCCGAACUAAUCUGCCCUCUACUCUGAUCCACGAAACUAUACCCAGACUGAGAGUAAAAAUCCUGAUCCUGAAAGUACUCCUCUUCUGCUCUGAUCCACAAAGGUAUAUCAAGACAAGGAACAAAUGUCCUAUCCUACAAAGCACGAAGAACGUAAUAAGGAUAUGGCCCGGGGAACGUAUAGAAGAAAAGAUAAUCUGAACAGGAACAAGCAAAGCAUCCAAGUGAAGAUGAGCGAUCCGACCGUACUCAAACUCGUCCUGAUCUCAGUGCACUCUCAACUGGAGACUAAACAGAGGGAAAAUCGGAUCCAAAACUGCGGCUACAGAGGCACGGAAAGCCCUCAGAUGCACCCACGUGUAGGGAGGGAAUCCUAAUCGAAGGAUCUACGGCUCAACCUACAAGGUCAAGGUGGCUCUAAAUGGAUAAGGGUGGACUUUAAAAUAUCCCUAGCAGAAGCGAUUAUACCCUCCGACGGUACGCAACCCUCUGCACGUCUCCGAAGAGACGGGGCGCUUCCAUGCAAGGUGGUCAUCACCUCCACACAUGCACUACCUCGCAUCCCAGGGGGUUUCCUAUGGUGAAACCUCUCAAACUCUCAACACUCAAUAGUCGACUAGAGUGCACAGUGAAUGGUGUGGGUGCAUCCGAAACCCUAAAAAGCUAAAGCAGGAUAUGAAACACACUGGCCACACAAAUAUCCAUGAAACCUAGCUUCGGGCUAUACAGGUCUUCAAUGAUCGGACUCCAAUCGACAUCAAAGUGUCGCUCUCCUCCAAAAUGCUCCCGUGCAUCGAUAUAGCCCAUCGCUAGACCCUACUCCUAAUCUCCGGCUCGGUCAAAGAGCAAGCACACAGAAGGUCUCACACUUGCAAUAGUGAGAACCGAAAUGAAAGGAAUGACCGAAACCAAGAGAGUUGGAGGUAGGGGGAUAGAAGUGAGACCCACAUAGACAGGCAACAUGCAAUCAUACAGAGGGAGGGCAGUCAUGCAUCAUACGGUCAAGCAGAGUAUAGGAUAUAUCACUCAUGUCCACACAAAAAAAAAAGCUACAACUAUCAGGAUGAAUAGUGAUAUGAACAUCAUGCUCAAAAGAUGAUCUAGAUAAUAUGCAGGUCAGAGAAAACAACACAGCAAGUCAAACGAUGUACAAUAGUGAGUCUAUGCAUGUGAAGUGAGCAGAAUAAUCAGGAAGAAACAGAAUCGCUUUACCAAGCAAAACAAGGUGAGCAACCUAUGAUAAUCGGCAUGUCAAUGUACCAAACUAAUAUAGCAAUGAAGUACAAAAAAAACGACAUCCGAAGCCCCAAAUCAAGAUGAUCAAUCAUAUCAAUGUCACAACAUAAUAUCCAAGCAUACAUAAAAAAAACUCUCAAUGUGCAAUCAAGAGACAGGUACUCGCUGAUCGACUCAUCAAAUGCCCUGUUUGCUUCAUCUUAAGUUCAAGCUUGACCCUCUAACUCAUCCCCAGCGGAGUCGCCAUUUUGUGGACCCCGCAUUUCGGCUCAAUGCGUUCCCCACUCAAUGGUGCAUGCAGUCUGUUGAGGCUUUGCAAUGAUGGAACCUGAGUGCAUUGUUGGGCAGUCAUCCAUCCUUAUGAAAAGUUCUUAGGAGACUCACCCAAUCCUUGAAGUUGGAUCUGUUCCAUCCCCAGAAAGAAGAAUAUCAACAGUGAAUUAUGGGCACUACGUCCCUUUGACUUGGACGUUGGCCGCCAAUGUUUGAUAUGGAGUCGCGUUUGACUCAAAUGUACACUGACGCUACUUUUGGGCAUUGCCAUCAUGCUAUCCGUGACAUUUUAACUCCUGUCCUUCUUGCAUUAUACGAAUCAAGGAGGAAGAGUAAAUCAAAGUAAAACUCAUCAUAUGGGGCAACGUGAUUUUUAUCCUUCCAGGCUGGCAGAGACUCAACAUGAUACAGGGUUCUAAUCAAAGUUUGCUCUCGUCCAAAUACUCAAUCCUGUAAACAUCCAUGGGAUCAGUAAUGGAGAUAAGAGAAGGUCAGGAAUGCAAAUGAAAGAGAAUCAUCAUUGAAGUAUUGGGUUGAAUAAUGGGGUUAUCAUGGGAUCAAGAGGCUUAUGGCUUGGUGACAAUAGUUGACAUGGACAAAUGAGGAGAUAUGAAAGGCCAGAUUUGAGAGAUGAAGUCCACGUUUCUAUCAAGGAUUAUUUUAAUUGAUUCCAUCAAGGGCUCUCACAUGUGAGAUAGAGAUGGCAAUAGUAACAAGCACAACGAUGUCAAUGGCAUGAUUUCUGAGGCUAGUAUCAUAGGCGGCAUCCACCAGGCCAUUUUGAUCCAUAAGAAAGGUAGCAAAGUGCAUCGGGGCUUCCUCUUCGUUUUGGGUGGAAUGGUGAUCUUUGUGUUCCUCAACGACAUCCAUGGAGUGGAGUAGAUUGUUUAUUUGACAGUAGCAAUUGCAAAUGGGUCAUUAAUGGACUUGGUUUUGAUUACCAGGGCUUGAGAGGUUUCUUACCGAAUGAUAUAUCCCAAUCGCGCCAUCUACAUGCAACACGUCAGAAUGAUUCUUCUGUGGAUGGGAGCUAUUCAUGUCCUCUGGUGUUUGAGAAACUGCCAGACGUAAACCAGGAAGGGUCCCAGUGGACAGAUUGUGAAAUUCGAGAGACCAUCAACGUGAUUUAUCAUGUAUAAACUGGAUUCUUACCUAAGUAUCCUUGUUUCCGAACAUCGUAAACCGCGGAAAUUAACUUUGUACUGGAUUCCCUAUACAUGUGGGGCAGCGGGCUCAUCAGUUUGCUCAGUAUGGCUCCUAUGUCAUGGUAGUUUGAUGGGAAGUAAUGACAUAAAAAAUUGGGUUCGUGAAGCUAAGGACUCAACCAUUACCUUCUGGAAUAAUCAUGUAGAGCAAUCGAUUCCGUCCAUUAGAGAUGAAUUCUUUCAGGCAAUCAGGAGCAACACCUAUGAUGCCAUCAGCUGUUCUAACAAGCUCUGCAGCACCACUGAUCCUUAUAGUGCAGUCCCUCCACCCUGAGCUUAGAGGGAAGUGUUUUUGCAUGGCCACCUUGGGCAUGCAGCUCUUGACCAUGUGCCAUUUCCUUCUAUUCUCUCAUCCCCUGUUUUCUUGAAAAUAAUCUUCUUAAAUCCCAUUUUCAAUAAAAUUUGGUUGCCAUUUUCCUUCCGGCAAGCCACUUGUGCAUUUUCUUUGUUUUUAAAAUGUUUUAAAAAUAAGUAAGAAUUAAAUUCCGUAAUUCCAAGUGAUGGAAUUUAUGGAAUUGAUUCAUGCAAAAAUGAAUUGGGUCUUGGUGGGGGCCCUACAUAUGAGAUUCCAUGAUUGAUUGAUUUAUUUGUCAUGCAUGAUUGAUUUACUCUAUUCCUUGAUAUGCGCUUAAUUAUAUAUGUUCAUUGUUCACUAACCAUGUUUCAUGAUAGCGCAUUCGUGAUUGCCGCCCAGGUACGCAUCUAUUCAUAUUUUGCUCAUUCUUUAUACAUGCUUUGUCUCUCAUAUGUGCAUGAUUGAUUCGAGUAUUCAUUGAUUUUCUCAUUGAUUGUCAUGUCAGCUUCAUCUCAUUAGUAGAGACCCGACUUUAGGGACUUAGAGGGGUGCUACGGUCCAUACCGUACCUUCCCAAUAAGUAACCUGACCCCUGAACCCGAUCCGAUUUUUCACAGACCACCUUUUCCAAAAUAAGGAGUCACACUUAGGGUUUUUCUUUCUUAUUUUGUUUACCCUUUAAAAAUAAAACAAAAAUAAGUGGCGACUCCAAGUCAUUUUCAAAUAAUCAAUAAAAAUCAUUUUUCAAAUAAAAAUCGAGCUCGUCAUCGAGUGGGAAACGCAUUGAGCCGAAAUGCGGGGUCCACAAAGUGAUCUUGAAAAUUAUAAGUUAAUUAUGUUUACUUGAAUAAGAGAUUUGAAUAAUCUUGUAAAAAGAUGAUGUUUGUCGUUUAAGUGGAAGGUUGAUUUAGAAAUUAUCAUACAGGGAAAUGGAAAAAAAUACUAUUAUUUUGGUACAAGACCAUAUUAUUCAGUGGUGUCUCUAGAAAGUUCCAUUAGAUGCUAUUAAACAAUUAAUUUGGUGUCUCACUUGCAUAAUUUUGAGUUAUUGGAUUUUGGGUUUUGCAGACUCUAAUCUCCGGAGGUAACGACACAACUGUUGUCUCUCUGACAUGGGCACUCUCUCUUGUACUAAACAACCAUGACACCUUAAAAAAAGCUCAACAAGAAUUAGACAUCCAAGUUGGGAAGGAAAGAUUAGUGAAUGAACAAGAUAUAGGUAAGUUGGUCUAUCUCCAAGCCAUUGUUAAAGAGACAUUACGGUUAUAUCCAUCAGGACCACUUGGAGGACUACGCCAAUUUACCGAGGAUUGCACCUUAGGUGGAUACCAUGUCUCUAAAGGCACCCGUUUAAUAAUGAACCUUUCGAAGAUCCAAAAGGAUCCAAGAAUUUGGUCAAAUCCAACAGAAUUCCAACCAGAGAGGUUUCUCACCACCCAUAAAGAUGUUGAUCCUUGGGGAAAACAUUUUGAAUUUAUACCAUUUGGAGCUAGUCGAAGAGUAUGUCCAGGAAUAACUUUUGGUCUUCAAAUAUUACAUUUAACAUUAGCUAGUUUCUUACAUGCGUUUGAAUUUUCAACUCCAUCAAAUGAAUAGGUCGAUAUGCGCGAGAGCCUUGGACUUACAAACAUGAAAUCUACCCCACUUGAAGUUCUCAUUUCUCCACGCUUAUCUUCUUGUAGUCUUUACAAUUAAAACAUUGAAACGAAUAGGUCAAGUCGGUCUUGCUAGUCUUGGUUUAAAGACAUAUGGAGUUAGGUUCAAUCAAUCUAUGACAAGAUUUGGGAUUGUAUUAAAAGUAGGUUGGACUAAGAAUGAUGUAUAAUAAACUAAAGUACUAUUUAUGUCAAUAAAGUAUAGCUUUAUAUAUUAUUUGGUUAUCCUUGCUCUCCGUCUAGGCUCUCAUGGGUGCAAGGCCUACCCAUGAGGCCCUUUUCUCCAAAUUUGAGUCAAGUGGCUAAGGGGCUUACAACUAGCUUCUUUGCCAUAGACAAAUUUUCUUUUGUUUAUAUGUUUUAAUUGAUGCAUAUUCACUUUCUUCUUUUCUUAAUUAAAUUGCAAUAAUUAAACAUACAAUUUAAAUAAAUUUUAAAUUUUAUUUUUAACUAAAAACAAAAGUAUACAGAUACAAAUAUAUACUGCUUAAGUAAUUAAUUUUUAAAAAUUAUCCUUUGAGAACAUCUCAGACAAACUGAGACAUGCUUCCAGAGAAAUCUAAAUGUAAUGUUUUUAAAAGCUACUUUGUAAUUUUAUUUUCGAGCAUGUUGCAUAAUAUAUACUUUCCUUGAAUUGAUUUUCCAAACUAUAUUUUUAUUAGCAAUAAGGGUUAUCUACGUUUUGGAAAUUAUAAGUUAAUUAUGUUCACUUGAAUAAGAGAUUUGAACAAUCUUGUAAAAAGAUGAUAUAUAUAUAUAUAUAUAUAUAUAUAUAUAUAUAUAUAUAUAUAUAUAUAUAUAUAUAUAUAUAUAUAUAUAUAUAUAUAUAUCGUAUGGCUGAUUUGGAAAUUAUCCAAAAUGGAAAAAAAUACUAUUAUUUUGGUACAAGACCAUAUUGUUCAAUAGUGUCUCUAGAGAGUUCCAUUAGAUGCUAUCAAACAAAUAAUUUGGUGUCUCACUUGCAUAAUUUUGAAUUGUUCGAUUUUGGGUUUUGCAGGCUCUAAUUGUCGGAGGUAACAAUACAACUGUUGUCUCUUUAACAUGGGCACUCUCUCUUUUACUAAACGUACAACCACGACAUCUUAAAAAAGGCUCAAGAAGAAUUAGAUAUCCAAGUUAGCAGGGAAAGAUUAAUGAAUGAACAAGAUAUAAGUAAGUUGGUCUAUUUUCAAGCCAUUGUUAAAGAGACAUUACGGUUAUAUCCACCAAGACUACUUGGUGGACUAUGCCAAUUUACUAAGGAUUGCACCUUGGGUGGAUACCAUGUCUCUAAAGGCACCCGUUUAAUAAUGAACCUUUCAAAGAUCUAAAAGGAUCCAAGAAUUUGGUCAGAUCCAAUAGAAUUCCAACCAGAGAGGUUUCUCAUCACCCAUAAGAAUGUUGAUGAUUGGGGAAAACAUUUUGAAUUUAUUUCAUUUGGAGCUGGUCGAAGAGCAUGUUUAGGAAUUGCUUUUGGUCUUCAAAUAUUAUAUUUAACAUUAGCUAGUUUCUUACAUGCAUUUGACUUUUCAACUCCAUCAAAUGAACAUGUUGACAUGCAAGAGGCCUUAGACUUACAAAUAUGAAAUCUACCUCACUUGAAGUUCUCAUUUCUCCGGACUUAUUUUCUUGUAGUCUUUACAACUAAAACAUUGAAAUGAAGAGGUCAAAGUCGACCUAGCUAGUCUUGGUUUAAAGACAUAUAGAGUUAGAUUCAAUCAAUCUAUGAUAAGAUUUGGGACUGUAUUAAACAUAGGUUGGACUAAAAAUGAUGUACAAUAAACUAAUUAAAGUAUUGUCCAUGCCAAUAAAGUAUAACAUUAUAUAUUAUUUGGUUAGCCUUAAGGAAUGUAGCAUCAUAAUUAUUUCUUUGUUUUGUCUAAUUUAUCACCAUUUUUUCCCCUUCUCUUCUUCCCUUCUCUUCAUUAGAACAAAUAAUAUAUAGUCUUUUUAUUUUUAAAAAUCAAAUUCGAUUCCCAGUUAUAUAAGAAUUUUACUUUUACUUUAUAAUAAACUUUACUUUAAUCUUAAUAACUUUGACCAUGAUCUCCAUCAUUGAUUAAAUAUAGGGAUAAUUUCAAUCAUUUUUUCUAAGAUUGGAGUUAAAUUUACCCAUCCAUUAUUAAUUUGAAAUUUUAUUAAAUAUUUUUUUUUUCCUUUUUUUUUACAUGUAUAUCUUUUAAUUUAAAAUAAUAGUUGUCCGAUAUAUUUAUAUGAAAUUAUUUUCGAAGAGGUGAAUGAAACUAAACUUUUUUUUAAAUAUAAAAUCAUAAAAAUUUAAUAUACGCCAGCACGAUCCGGUCUAAAUAUUAUAUAUAAUUUGUGUCAUUUCAAAAAAUCAUAGAAGAUCCUUUUGGCAAGGUGGCCCCUUUGAGUAGGAAUUCUCUAAUUGGUCACUACAUAUUACAUAAUUUCAAAGAUUAUGGAGGAUCAUUUACCAAUCAUUAUCAGAAGAAGUGCUGAUUCCUGUAUAAAACUAACCAAUACGAUAUUUAGCACAUGCAAACAGAUUUGGAAGGAUCUGAAAGUCAAGCCUACGGGCCAUCCCUUUACGGCUUGUUCGAAAAAGCACAAAUUGAUGGGGUGCCACUUGCCAGCAGUCUGUUUCAAUAUCUAAAUGUUACCCAGUGGGAUUGCUUGAUAUACUUUUUGUCUCCUAGCUACCAUCUAUUAUUAUGGAGCUCCAGAGCUGGUAAGAUAAGAAUACACCCAAAAGCUGCUGGUGCAUGGCCAAUAAUCGGUCACCUCCUCUUAGGGUCACAACUUCCUGGGAUUUUUUUUUAUAAAAUUACGGUAAAUUUAAAAUUAAUUUUUUAAAAUGCGGCAUAUUGAAAAUAUGCUUGAAUAAUAAUAAUAAAAUGACAAAUAAUAAAAAGGAAAGAAAGUUGUCUUGUGGCUAUAAGAAAGAAUAAUAUAAAAGAGAGAGAUGAGGAGAGGCGGAUAGAGAGAAGAGUAGGCCGAAAAAAAAAAAAAAAAAGAGGAGAACGGGGAGGUGCUGCAAAUCUUUGGGCGUUCGAUCGUAUGACGAGCAAAACGACUUAUGUUUUGCAUGAAAGUUAAGGAGAAAAUUUUCUUUGAGGCGAGGAACAUUCCUUCAAAGUUCGAUUUUAGUUUCAAUGAUUGGAUUUUUUUAUUUGUGGUAAGAUAGUUUAAUCCUACAACUUUUGUUUAAUAUUUUGUUCUUGAAAAAAUAUUAUGAAUUUUUUUAGUGGAAGAUAAAUAUGUGUUAUUUGUGUUUUCUUUAUGUUAUUUGAAGUAUGAUUAUUCUUAAGGUUAUUAUUAUUAUUAUUGUUUUAUGAUUUACAUAUUAUUAUGAUUUUAUUUUUAAAAUUUUUAUGUUUGCAAUGAUUUAAUUGAAGAAAAACUGUUGUGUUGAUUGUUGAAAAUUAUUUAGUAUGUUGGGAAUAAAUAAAAUUUAUAUGAUUAGGGUUGAGACUAUGUUUUGAUGAUAUGUAAAUUAUUGUGAAUAUAUAUAUAUUUUAUAUUUGUAGUGAUUUAAUUGAAGAAAAAUUGUUGUGUUGUAAUUGGAAUUAUUGAUCAUGUUUGGAGUAAAUAAAAAUUAUGUCCUAGAAAAUUAUGCAUAAUAACAUGCAAGUUUAUUAUAUUUCAUAUGCAUCAUGGUUAUGUGAAAAAAAAAAUUGAUGAAAGAUUUUAUAAAAUGAAAAAGGAAAAAGAAAAUAAUGAUGAAAAGUAAAAACCUGUGAAAGAUAAAUCAAGAAGGAAAUGAGAUUUCUAGUGUAAAAAAUACAAAAAUUUAUCCCGUGAGUGUAUUUGAUAUAGAUGCAUAUCAUUAAGUGAAAACCCAAAAACAAUAGUUGAAUGUAAGCAUUUGCACCAUGUUUUCAUUUGGAAGAAGGACAUGUAUUAAAUACUUGAAUGACAUCAAUGGUAUGUUUAAAUAUAUUAUUAGAGAUUGAAAUAAUUUAUUUAUUUUGUAAGUUUAGAAUUAUUGGAUAAACCGCUAUUGACGAUUGGACCGAUGAAUGGGGCGGUUUUUCAUGAACUGCAUGGCUAAAUUCCAGCUCCAGUCUUCCUCCCAUUUUUCCUUUCAUCCAAAUAGUCCAACCUCCCCCUCCUCUUUUUCAUAGGGUCCAAGUGAAAGCCCAAUAAGCCCAGCCUUACAUUUUAAUGGCUUUUUGGCAAAACCUAAACCCAUUUAAACCCAUGGGUGGUACCUUUUUGGCAUGUACUAAUUUGAGUUAUAUGAAUUUUUGUAAUUUAAAUUAUAAUUUGUUAUUUUGUAAAAUAUUUUUUACUUAGAUUUAUGUAGAUAUUUGGGUUAAUUUGGGAUUAUAUAUUGAUCUAUUCAACUGAAAUCAUUGACCGUCAAAUUGGAUAGGAAUAACAUUUAAGGUCAACCCUUUGACCUGAUAUCACUAAUCGGAUUCUGAGUUGCCUUGAAUAGGGUGUGACUAUAAUGGAUUUUCUUCUCCAAUGCCUAAACCCUGUCAUGGUUGGAGCGUUUGCAAUACUCGUCCUCUCAUACCACCUGUUAUUAUGGAGGACUGGAGCUGGUAAGAGCAGAAUGGCACCUGAAGCUUCUGGUGCAUGGCCCAUAAUAGGUCACCUGCACCUGUUAGGUGGAUCUAAGAAUUUGCCUCACUUACUUUUUGGAACCAUGGCCGACAAGUAUGGACCAGUAUUCAGCAUCCGGCUGGGAUUAAAAAGAGCUGUGGUGGUGAAUAGUUGGGAGAUGGCCAAGGAAUGCUUCACCACCCAUGACCUGGCUCUGGCCUCCCGUCCUGAGGUUGAGGCCGCCAAAUAUUUGGGAUAUAACUAUGCCAUGUUUGCUUUCUCUCCUCACGGUGCAUACUGGCGUGAAGUGCGUAAGAUAGCUACUCUAGAGCUACUCUCGAAUCGCCGGCUAGAAUUGCUGAAGAAUGUCCGAAUCUCAGAGGUGGAGACAUGCAUGAAGGAACUAUACAAGCUUUGGGCAGAGAAGAAAAACGAAGCGGGCGUUGUUUUGGUGGACAUGAAGGAAUGGUUUGGGCACUUGACUCUGAACGUGAUUCUUAUGAUGGUUGCUGGAAAACGAUAUUUCGGUUAUACAGGCGAAAGUAAAGAGAAAGAGGCCCAGCAGUGCCGGAAAGCGAUUAGGGAAUUCUUUCGUUUGUGGGGACUCUUUGUGGUGUCAGAUGCCAUUCCUUUUUUUGGAUGGCUUGACGUGGGUGGACAUCUGAAAGCCAUGAAGAAGACUGCAAAAGAACUGGACGGUAUUGCUCAGGAAUGGUUAGAGGAACACCGGCAGCGAAAAGAUUCUGGUGAAGCUGAUGGUAACCAGGACUUCAUGGACGUGACGCUGUCCAUUCUGGGUGGUAGAGACAUUACUGAUUAUGAUGCUGAUACCAUCAACAAAGCUACAGCCCUGGUAUGCACAUUAUUCCUUUAGCAUCUUUAUAUGGUAGUAAAAAAUGAGACAUAAUUUCAUGCUUUAUCAUCUUUAGUCCAGACUCAAGAGUACUUGGGCCUGGGUUGGAAGAACUUAUUUUUGCUUUGUUUCAAGUCGAAACUAAUCAAAAGCAGCGAUUUUUAAAAGGUAAUUAUAAUAAUGGUAUUAUAAAAGUUCAAACAUAAAAUAACUUUUUGCAUAAAUCAAAAUAGAAUUUUUAUAUAUACAUAUAAAAUGUUUUUCUGAUCUUCAUAUUAAUUUUUUUAAGUCAUAACUUUUUUGAACAAAAUUAGUCAAACCAUAGAACUCUUGAACUUACAAAAAAGGGCUUUCGAUUUCUUAGAAGUAGAUACAUGUAGAUUAUGAAAGUAUGUUCCUUAGUCCGCAUGGUUUGAGGCCUCUUUGAGUGGGCUUCUAGAGUCGGUUAGACAAUUGGGCCUUUCAAAGGAUUUCCUAAAUUUACAUUUUUUUUAGCCCAACUUGAAUUUUUAUAAAAUGCUAUAUUUAUACGCGAGUUUCAUAUUCAAGCUAAACAUACCCAUUUUGAUUGGAAAAAAAAGGAAAGAAAAUGGGGCCUUUUUUCCACCCUUAAUCCUAUCACUACUUUUAAUUUUAUUUUAUUAGUUAAUGGUUUGUAUUUCACAGAUUCUGAUUGGAGGAGGCACUGACACUACAUCUGCUACUUUAACAUGGGUCAUCUCACUUUUAUUAAACAAUCCAGAUGUAUUAAGAAAAGCCCAAGAAGAAUUGGAUGCUCAUGUUGGUAAAGAAAGACUAGUAAAUGAAAUGGAUAUAAGCAAGUUGGUCUACCUUCAAGCAAUUGUUAAAGAGACAUUGAGGAUAAAUCCAACAGCUCCACUUUCAGGACCGCGUCAAUUCAUCCAAGAUUCUAUUUUAGGGGGUUACCAUAUCUCAAAAGGCACUCGUCUUAUAUUGAACCUUACCAAGAUCCAAAGAGACCCAAGAGUAUGGUUGAAUCCAAUGGAGUUCCAACCAGAUAGAUUCCUCACCACCCAUAAAGAUGUUGAUGUUAGAGGUAAACAAUUUGAGUUGACACCAUUUGGAGGUGGAAGAAGAAUUUGCCCUGGAGCAGUUUUUGCCCUUCAAGUGCUACACUUAACAUUAGCCAACUUCCUGCAUAGAUUUCAACUUUCAACUCCAUCAGAUGCACCGGUUGAUAUGAGCGAGAGUUUUGGAUUAACAAACAUCAAAUCCACUCCACUUGAAGUUCUUAUCUCCCCACGCUUGGCUUCUUAUGAUCUUUAUGAGUAGAACUUGAGGUCGCUAAGAGACUUAUUUCAAAAAACCUAGUGCUAUGAAAUGUGAAAUAAAAAUAAAUUUCACACAUGUAGCAUAAGUUUAGUAUUAUUUUCAAGCAGUUACUCAUGUGUGUCCUUUAAUAUUGUCUUAGCUUGAAUUUAAUGAAAAAUAUUUUCGACACCUUUUUCGUGUGGACAAGUAAUGACCCAAUUUCUUGUUAUGUUUCUUCAUUCUUUCAUGAAAGAGAAUUUAGAAGAACAAGUGACAUAUAGCAUUACAAUUGAAAAAUUAAUAAGUAUGUGCUCCACCAUAUGCAUAUAUAUAUGCAUAGUAGACUUGAUGAGUUUCCAAGUUGAUUAAUUGGUAUCUCCUUUUGAUAGAUUUCAGCCACCUUUUUGUACAUGAUUAAAGUAGUAAUGGAAACUAAAAUUACAACUCCCAUUUCAUUGUAAAAAGUUGGGAUGUGCAAGGUGGGUCAGUUCAAUUUUGGGCAUUAAAAUCAAAUCGAAUUGAACCCAAAAGAGGAAAAUGAUUAGUUUGACUUGAUUAACAAUAAUCUAAGUUGGUUCAUUUUGCUUCUAUUUAUAACAUCAAUUUUUUUUUAUAAUUUGAACAAAAAUAAUAUUAUUGAAGCAAGUCAUCUUUGGACGGUUGAAAUGAUAUUAUUACCACUAAUUUCAAAUCAUAUUAUUAUAACUUAAUGACGUGAAUAGGUAUUAUUGUAACCCAUGUCAAUCAUAUCAAAUAGUCCAAGUCAGAUAAAAGUUAUAAAGGUGUGAUUGGGAGUUCCAUCCAAUGUGAAAAAUGUAUACCAAAUUAAUGAUGUAACCAAUUGUUAUACUGUAUAUUAUUACUGUGUGUAUAACUUUCAAUUCAAUUCAGUUUGGUUCAUUAAUUUUUUUAAUAGGUAAUUGAAUUGGUAUAACUGAGUUAUAUAUUUUAAAAACCAAAUUUAUUAAAAAAAUAAAAUCUUAAAAAAUUAAUAGAUUUGGGUCAAUUCCAUUGAUUUUGCCAAUUGUACACCCUAAAAGAAGGGAUGUCCACUUAUCAUUCAUAAACUUUGUGUACUCCUAAGUUACAAUUUUGUCCCAUGUGAUUCACAUUUGUACUUAUUAUUCUCAAUUUUUUGUACAAAUGAUUUAUUAUUUUACAGAAUUUUACUCCAUGAGAUUCACAUUUGUACUUAUUAUUAUCAACUUUGUCUGCUCUUAAGUUACAAUUUCUCCUAAUUAGAUUCACAUGCGUUAUUGCCAUAAUUGAAUUUCCACAUUUAUGCAUGAAUUAUUAUGUUAAUAGAUACAUUAUCAUUUUGUCAAGUUAAUCUGACUCAGGUUAAUCACCAAAGACAAGGUGAAUUAAUUGACUCAAUUUUAAUAAAUUUUAAUUUAAAUGAGUGCAAGUAAUAAUAAUACAAAAAAAAUUAAAUAAAAAGAAGAGAUAACAGGUACAAACUCCAAUUUAUAUAUUUUGCUCAAUCCUAUACUCUCCUCAAGCUCUCAAAUGCAAAUUGAGGGUUCCACUAGCUUUUAAGACUUCAAUCAAACCUUAAUCCUUUACACUUGGAUUCUCAAUUUCAAUGACCUUUUUACACUUUAAUUCAAGAAAUUCCUCACUCUUGAACAUACUCAAAGGUAACACUUAAACAACAUUGAUCUCACAAAAUUUAUUUACAGAUAAUAUAAAUGAAAACUUAAAUGGUUUUUCUUGGCUAGGAUUUCUAAGUUAAUAAGGAUUUUUACAUUAAAAAGAAAGAGUUAAGAUCAACUGGGUUUUGUAAGAUUUUGAUAUAUAUCUUAGUUUGUGAGUUUUUUGGGAUUCUAUUGUAAUCUUAUUGUUUUAUCCUAAAAUUGUCAAAAAAAGAAAUCAGUAAUUUAGUAUGGCAAUUUUACUCCAAAGAUUAUUGAUUAAAAAUUAUUUUACUAAUACCAACGUGUAAGAGUUAAAGGCAUAAAAUUGAAAUUAAAGUAAGUUUAUUAUUUUGGAUUUGGUUAAGUAAUGACAAGAUUAAUAAUUGAACUUAAUGUAAAAAGAAGUGUAAAAACUUUAAAAGUUUAAAAUAUCAUUUCAUUAUUAGUUUCCACUUGCCAACAUAGAUUUCUCAUUCUAUUCUAACAAGUUUUUUGUACUUUUAUAUAUAUAUUUCAUAAACUUAACAAAGGAUACAAACAGCAAAAGAAAAAAAAAUAAUUGAGCUACUAAACCUCAAUAUAAAUUUGGGGUGAAUUGUCAAGGAGCAGGGGGAAGUACUGUAUCACAGAUCAAUGUGAAGAUGUAUAUAUAUUUAUAGUAUAGAACCUAAGAGGUGAACGUUUCUUUCUAAGUUAGGUAAACAUUUCUGUCAAAGUUGAUGAAAUUUUACUAUAAUUUAUAUACACAUGCUUUCAGUGUGCAUAUAGGUUGAAAUAAUAUGUGGAGAUGAUUUUUAUAUGUGAUUUAAUAUUGUUUUGGAUUAUUGAUUAUGACUAUAAAUUAUCAUGCAUGGAACUAAUCAAAAUGAUAUAAUUAAAUUAUAUUAAUGAAUUUGAGAUAGACAUGGCAAUUAUUAAUUUGAAAUAUCUUAUAUGAACAUAAAAUUUUAAAUAUAGACUCAUAAUUUAUAUUAAAAUAAUAAAAUUAAAAAAGUACGUUUAUCUCAAAUUUAUGCCUAGGGCCCAAAUUUUGCUGAGAGCCAGCCGGAUGUCAUCACAUGCAAGAAAGCUAGGAAACAAAGCUGAAGUUUGCUUCUUGUGUGGGAAGAGGUACUUCCGUGCUUGACUGAAAGAAAGGAUUUUCUACAAGAAAAAUUGUCCCCUUGUUUGUAAAGCCUCAAGUUGCGACAGCAAUAACGACAAAAGUAGGCCAAAGAAUUUGUCAUUAUUAUGAGACUAGAGAGGUUUUACUGAGAAGUUUUCCGAGCGUGAUAUCAGCAUUCGCUGUAUCACAGUGAUACAACAAAUGGUUUGAACACAGUGAUCUAGAACCCAUUAGCUCAAAUUUCAUUGAUCUGAACACGAUGAUCCUCAUCCGCAGACCAUUUUAGGGAAUGAUUAAUUCUAGCGAUUUUUUAACUGCCUGUACGAAGAACUUUAUCAAAAUUGGAUUCAGUGUAUCUUAACCAAUCUUGAUCAGUAUGCGACUGAUGAUUCUAUUUGAUAAAAGUAAUGCGGUGGCCCAACUUUAUCUUAAUUUCCAUGUUGAAACUAACCAUUAUAUUAUUCUAUAAUUAUAAAUAUAUACUAUGGAAUUAAGAUAACUUUGACAUGCUAAGGAUCAAAAGAGGGCAGCCACUUUAGUUGUGGAUUAUACUAAAUAAAGCUGAUCGAUUAUUACAUUGGAAAAUAACAUUGAACCUAUCAUGAAAGACAACCCUACUGGACCAUGCCCUGAGUACUAAAUGCUGAUAAAAAACAAGUACAUGUUCCAAAGGAAUUGAGUCCAUAUAUACUCAUUAGUGCUCAAAGAGAAAAACUAUAUAUCCACCGCUUAACUACAGUGAUCCUUUGAGCAGAAGAAACUAGCCAUGUAUUUCCUUCUCCAAUACCUAAACAUCACCACGGUCGGAGUCUUUGCCACACUUUUCCUUUCCUACUGUCUAUUAUUAUGGAGGUCUAGAGCUGGUAACAAAAAAAUAGCACCUGAAGCUGCUGCUGCAUGGCCCAUAAUCGGUCACCUACACCUGUUAGCUGGUGGUUCUCAUCAGCUUCCCCACAUAACCUUGGGAAACAUGGCCGACAAAUAUGGACCGGUCUUCACAAUUCGGAUUGGGUUGCAUCGAGCUGUGGUGGUAAGUUCUUGGGAGAUGGCUAAAGAAUGCUCGACCGCCAAUGACCAGGUUUCAUCCUCGCGUCCCGAACUUUUAGCCUCAAAACUUUUGGGCUACAACUACGCCAUGUUUGGUUUCUCUCCAUACGGUUCUUACUGGCGUGAAAUGCGCAAGAUAAUCAGCCUAGAGCUACUCUCUAACAGCCGCUUAGAGCUGCUGAAGGACGUCCGAGCUUCAGAAGUGGUGACAUCCAUAAAAGAGCUAUACAAGCUCUGGGCAGAGAAAAAAAAUGAAUCGGGCCUUGUCUCGGUGGAGAUGAAGCAGUGGUUUGGAGACUUGACUCUGAACGUAAUUCUUAGGAUGGUGGCAGGGAAGCGUUAUUUCAGUGCUUCAGAUGCAAGUGAAAAUAAACAGGCGCAGAGGUGCCGGAGAGUGUUCAGGGAAUUCUUUCAUUUGUCAGGGCUCUUUGUGGUGGCGGACGCUAUUCCAUUUCUUGGAUGGCUCGACUGGGGGAGACAUGAGAAAACCCUAAAGAAGACAGCAAUAGAAAUGGACAGUAUUGCUCAAGAAUGGUUAGAGGAGCACCGUCGGAGGAAAGACUCCGGUGAUGAUAAUAGUACGCAAGACUUCAUGGAUGUGAUGCAGUCAGUUCUUGAUGGCAAAAACCUUGGUGGUUACGACGCUGAUACCAUCAAUAAAGCCACAUGCCUGGUAUGAGUUAUUAAUGAAACACCCACGUACCAUUUAUUUGCAUAUUAUCAGGGCUAGCUUCUUUUGCACAGACAGUUUUUCUUUUGUUUAUAUGUUUUAAUUGAUGCAUAUUCACUUUCUUCUUCUCUUAAUUAAAUUGUAAUAAUUAAACAUAAAAUUAAAUAAAUUUUAAAUUUUAUUUUUAACUAAAAAUAGAAGUAUACAUAUACAAAUAUAUACUGCUUAAGCAAUUAAUUUUUUAAAAUUAUUCUUUCAGAACACUUCAGACAAGCUGAGACAUGCUUCGAGGGAAAUUUAAAUAUAAUGAUUUUAAAAGCUACUUUGUAAUUUUAUUUUCGAGCAUGUUGCAUAAUAUAUGCUUUCCUUGAAUUGAUUUUCCAAAUUUUAUUUUUGUUAGCAAGAAAGGGUUAUCUACGUUUUGGAAGUUAUCUUUAAUUUCCCCUGUAAAGAAUAAGUGAUCUUGAAAAUUAUAAGCUAAUUAUGUUCAUUUGAAUAAGAGAUUUGAAUAAUCUUGUAAAAGAUGAUGUAUAUCGUUUAAGUGGAUGGUUGAUUUAGAAAUUAUCAUAAAGGGAAAUGGAAAAAAAUACUAUUAUUUUGGAACAAGACCAUAUUGUUCAUUGGUGUCUCUAGAAAGUUCCAUUAGAUGCUAUCAAACAAUUAAUUUGGUGUCUCAUUUGCAUAAUUUUGAGUUAUUGGAUUUUGGGUUUUGCAGACUCUAAUCUCCGGAGGUAGCGACACAACUGUUGUCUCUCUAACAUGGGCACUCUCUCUUGUACUAAACAACCGUGACACCUUAAAAAAAGCUCAAGAAGAAUUAGACAUCCAAGUUGGUAAGGAAAGAUUAGUGAAUGAACAAGAUAUAAGUAAGUUGGUCUAUCUCCAAGCCAUUGUUAAAGAGACAUUACGGUUAUAUCCACCAGGACCACUUGGAGGACUACGCCAAUUUACCGAGGAUUGCACCUUGGGUGGAUACCAUGUCUCUAAAGGCACCCGUUUAAUAAUGAACCUUUCGAAGAUCCAAAAGGAUCCAAGAAUUUGGUCAGAUCCGACAGAAUUCCAACCAGAGAGGUUUCUCACCACCCAUAAAGAUGUUGAUCCUCGGGGAAAACAUUUUGAGUUUAUACCAUUUGGAGCUGGUCGAAGAGCAUGUCCAGGAAUAACUUUUGGUCUUCAAGUAUUACAUUUAACAUUGGCUAGUUUCUUACAUGCGUUUGAAUUUUCAACUCCAUCAAAUGAACAGGUCAAUAUGCGCGAGAGCCUUGGACUUACAAAUAUGAAAUCUACCCCACUUGAAGUUCUCAUUUCUCCACGCUUAUCUUCUUGUAGUCUUUACAAUUAAAACAUUGAAACGAAGCGGUCAAGUCGGUCUUGCUAGUCUUGGUUUAAAGACAUAUAGAGUUAAGUUCAAUCAAUCUAUGACAAGAUUUGGGAUUGUAUUAAAAGUAGGUUGGACUAAGAAUGAUGUAUAAUAAACUAAAGUACUAUUUAUGUCAAUAAAGUAUAACUUUAUAUAUUAUUUGGUUACCCUUAUGGAAUGCAACAUCAUAAUUAUUUAUUUGUUUUGUCUAAUUCAUUCUACAUUUUUUUCCCCUCAUUUUCACCACAACAAAUAAUAUAUAGCAUUUUAUUUUUUGAAAUCAAAGUUAGUUCCGAGUUAUAUAAGAAUUUUACUAUUACUUUAUAAUAAACUUUAAUCUCAAUAAUUUUAACAUGUAAAUAUGAUCUUCAUCCUUAAUCAAAUAUAGGGAUAAUUUCAUUCAUCUUUUAGAAGAUUAGAGUUAAAUUUACCUAUCCAUCAUUAACUUGAAAUUUCACUAAAUAUAUUUUUUUUUCUUUUUCCUUUACUAUUUUUACUCAUCAUAUCUUUUAAUUUAAAAUAAAAAAUAUGUUUAAUAAAAUUUGGGAAUAAUGGUUAUUAGACAUAUUUACGUGAAAUUUUCGAUGAGGUGAAUGAAACUAAAGUUUUCUUUAAAUGUAAAAUCAUAAAAAUUUAGUAUCUGCCAGCAUGAUCCGGUCUAAAUAUUAUAUAUAAUUUGUGUCAUUUCAAAAAAUCAUAGAAGAUCCUUUUGGCAAAGUGGCUCCUUUGAGUUGGUAUUCUCUAAUUGUCACUACAUAUUAUAUAAUUUCAAAGAUCAUGGAGGAUCAUGUCGGCAAUCAUGAUCAGAAGAAGUUGCAGCUUCCUCUAUAAAAUACUAUAUAUACAUAAAAUUAAUCAAUGCAAUAUUUAGCAUAUGCAAGCAAAAUUGGACGGAUCAUGAAAGUAAACCUACGGGCCACCCCUUUACGACUUGUUCGAAAAAGCACUAACCCAGGGUGGUGCCACUUUCCAGCUGUCUUUUUCAAUAGCUAAAUGUUACCACGGUCGGAAUGCUUGGCAUACUCUCUCUCCCCACUAUCUAUUAUUAUGGAGAUCCAGAGCUGGUAAGAGAAGAAUAGAACCCGAAGCUGCUGGUGCAUGGUCAAUAAUCGGUCACCUCCUUUGGGUCACAACUUACUGAAAAACCGUCUGUCUAGUAGGUAAGAUUCAGAGGUGAAUACAUGUAUUUAAAAAGAUUAUAACAAAAAAAUUGAAUUGUUUUAACCUAAUGAAGAUAUAAAAGAUAAAUAAAAUAAUCAAAAUCAAACAAAUAAGUAAAGGACACAAAUUUUUAUAUGGAAAAUUUUCACAUUUACUAUAAAGAUAAAAAAACUACAAGAUAUAACAUCUUUAAUCUACUAUCUAUUGUUUGAAAUCAAAGUACGCAAAUUUACUUGCUCACGAUGCAACACCUUUCUCUUAGUCUCGUUGAAGAGAUGCAAGUCAAUACUAUGAAUUUUUUCUCAAGAAAUUGGAAAUGAUAGGGUAAGUUGUUGAUUCUCUUGUAGUGUCAAUAUAAAACAUAUUUAGGUAUGAUAUGUAAAAAAUAUUUACAUAAUCACAUAGAUUAAUGAUACAUGAUUAAAAGAUACUAACAAUAGGAAAUCACUAUAAAGAACAUACCUGUUUGAGUCAUGAUAAAAAAAACGUGAUUGAUUGUUGUAGUCAAGUCUUCCUCUCUAUGAUCUUGAUAAUAGAUAUGGUGGCUAUAUGGGAAAACAGAUAAACCCUAUUUAUCUACAUUAGAGAGGGGACCUAGCAUAACUCAAAUUGGAUUCUCAUUGGGCCCUCCCAUAAUGGGCUUCAAUGAGACCCAUAGCCUACACUUGCCACUCAACUGAGCUUCUACUCAAAAGAUGCAAAACCCAAUCUAAAAUGUGAUCACUAAUUAAUUGGGCUCAUUAUAGAAUAGACUAUCUAUUAACCCGUUUUUGCAAAUACAAAUUAUUCAAUUAAUGUUAGCCCAUAUAAAAAUUUUCCAACAUGAUAUAUAUAAGAGAAGAUCUACUAGAAUUGGUAUCAAUUAAAAAAUUAUAUUUUACUAAAAAUAAUUUAGAAACUUAAACUUUUAAAAAGAUUUGGAAUAGUUUUCUUUUUAAAAUUAUUAAUUUUAUAUUAUUUCCCAAUUUAUUUUUAUUAUUUGGAAAUGAAUUUUUAAAUUGAGAAUUUAAAAAAUCUUUUUAUUAUUUGGAAAGAUCUUUUAAAUUCUCAAUUUAAAAAUUCAUUUCCAAAUUAUUUUUAUUAUUUGAAUUUUUUUUUAAAUUCUUAAUUUAAAGUUCUUUUNNNNNNNNNNNNNNNNNNNNNNNNNNNNNNNNNNNNNNNNNNNNNNNNNNNNNNNNNNNNNNNNNNNNNNNNNNNNNNNNNNNNNNNNNNNNNNNNNNNNGUAAGUCAUCGUCUAAAAAGAUUUUUAAGUCAAAAUGAAAUUAAACAAAAUUGUUAACUAACAAAUUACAAGACUUACUAUCCCAACAUCCCCCAUAUAUACUUGGGAACCAUGGCAGACAUAUACAGACCGAUCUUCACGAUCCUGGUCGGGAAUGCAUCGAGCAUUGGUGGUGAGCAAUAAGGAGGUGGCCAAAGAAUGCCUCGCCAUCAAUGACUCAGCAGUGUCCGGCCAUCCCAAAUUGGUAGCCCCAAAACAUCUGGGUUACAACUAUGCCAUGUUGGCUUUAUAUAUAUAUAUAUAUAUAUAUAUAUAUCAAUAGAAAUACUUAAACAAAAUAAAUAUUUACAUGUGAGGAAAAAAUAUUUACUUAAAUUUCAGAGAAUUAAUAAUAAGGUUAUAUUUGGUUUCUAAAAAGUAUUAAAGAAAAAAAAUAUAAAAGAAAAUGAUUUUUUUAUGUUUGGUUUUAUUAUAAUUUUUUUAAUGAAAAUUAAAUAUAAUUAGAAAUUUAUACAUUUUAAAAUUAUUUAAUCUUUAUAUAAUUGAGGAAAUUAAGUGAAAUGAAUUUGAGGAAACAUAUAAAAAUAAUUUAUUAAUUUUGAAUAUAUAUAUAUAUAUAUAUAUAUUAUUUUUUUUCUUUUUUUUUGUUCCACUUUUCAUCUCUAUUUUCUUUUCCUCAAAAUUUUCAAGAAUCAAGCCAAAGUAUUUCUAUUUAAUUGUAAUAAAUACAUGAUAGUUUUUUUUUUUUUCACGAAUUGUAGAUACCAUUUAUGUGCACUUGUCAUAAAUUACUUUUACGAUAAUUUUAAUUAUCUAAAUUAUUAUAUCGUAAUGUAAUAAAAUAGUUCCUUUAUUUUUUAUAAAAAAUUUUUAUAUUUUAAUUUUAUAAUAAACAUACUCUUUCCUGCAUUUCUUGAAAUUUUUUUAUAUAUAAAUUAUGAAAACGUAAAUUAUGGUUGCUUUUUUUUUUUUUUUUUUGGUUUUAGAAAAAAUAAUGAAAAUGCAUUUCAUAGCUGUGGAUUUUGAUAAAUUGGAAAAAAAAAAAAAAAAAAAGAGAAAGGUGGAAAGAAUUUAAAAUGUGUAUUUUUAAAAUUUAUUAAGAAAUUUAACCUUCUUUUUUCGUGGAUAUGGGCGAUUAGGCCAAACCAUAUAAAUAUUUUGUCUUCUUUUUCAUUUAUUUUAUUUUUGUUGUUGCAUUUGAUAUUGCAAUUUCCCUCCUCCCCCCAACAAGUGGAAUUAAACUUGUGGUGGGAAGAUCAUGGGAAAAUUGAAAAGGAUGUCAAGCAUAAAAUAUGAUAUUAAAUCAUUUGAUGGAAAUAAUAAUAAUAAUAAUUUUAGCAUAUGGCAGAUGUUUUGGUAUAACAAAGACUUCUUAAAGUGUUAAAAAGGUAAGAAAGCAAAGAACAUGAUAGAAGAUGAUUUAUGGGAGAAGUUAUACACAAUUUAUAUGUCAACAUCCCAAGAAGAUGGAUGAAGGAUUAGAUGUUGAGGUCAUAUAAAUAAAUUUAUUAAGUAUAUACCCAGGUAUUAAGUGUAGAUAUUAAGAUGGAUAGAAAGAUCAAAUCAUUCUUUCAUUGGCUUUCUACCAAAAUCGUACGAGAUAGUAGUAACUGCACUUUUAGUUGGAAAGACAACUAUUACACACCCUAAAUACUAAAAUUAUGAUUUAAUUAUAAUAUCAAAUGAUUAAUUUAUAAUUUUAAAAUUUUAUAUAUAAAUUUAUGAAUAAAAUACAAUGUUUGAAAUAAAAAACUAAUUAUUUAAUUAUUUUCAAAUUCAUGAAUUUUAAUUCUAAUGUACAUAAUAACCGUAAUUUUUUUUAUAAAGUUGUUACUAAAUAUAUAUUUCCAAAUAGUAACAUAAUAACAUUUUAUUUUACAAUUUCUAAAUUUAAAAUUUUAUUUCUUUUAAAAGUUGAAAUAAUAUGGUCUAAUGAAUUGAGAGUUUUUAUAUAUGUCUUGUAUGUUGUUUAAGUUAUGUAAUUUCACCAUGUAAAAUAGACUAUUUUUAAAAGUUUUAAAAUUUAAGAUAAGAAAUAAUAGAUUUUGUUACUUUUCAUGUUGGUGAUACUCAAUUUUUUAGAUUUUUUAUUUUUGAUAAUUUUAUUUAGGUGAACUUUUUAAAAAAAAAAAAAAAGAAAAAAAAAAGAAAUUUAACUAAAGUUGUCAAUUUAUAAUUAAAAUUGGAAAAUCAAAUUUUGAUUUACCUAUAAUUAAAUUCUAAAAUAUUUUUAUUAGAUUCAAGGAGGGUAUUCCAUUAUUUAUAUUACAAACUUAAAGUUAAGCAGACAUUUACUUCAAUGUGCUAUACAAUAAAUAAAAUGAUGCAAAAUGGUGCACCACACCCAACUUGCGCACUUUAUGCACACCAUUCAAAUCGUGCAUCUCCAACAUACGACCUAAAUUGUGCACCUCUAAUGCAUCACUUGAAUUGUGUACUACUUAAAUUAUGCAUGUCUCCGGUUUAAAACACUUUGUGCAUCCCCAAUUAUGCACCUCCUUCUCUUUUAACACCUACUUAGAUUUGCAUAUUAUCAGGGCUAGCUUCUUUUCCAUAGACAGUUAUUCUUUUGUUUAUAUGUUUUAAUUGAUGCAUAUUCACUUUCUUCUUCUCUUAAUUAAAUUGCAAUAAUUAAACAUACAAUUUAAAUAAAUUUUAAAUUUUAUUUUUAACUAAAAACAAAAGUAUAUGUAUACAAAUAUAUACUGCUUAAACAAUUAAUUUUAAAAAAUUAUUCUUUGAAAACACCUCAGACAAACUAAGACAUGGUUCCAGAGAAAACUAAAUAUGAUGCUUUUAAUAGUUGCUUUGUAAUUUUAUUUUCAAGCAUGUUGCAUGAUAUAUACUUUCCUUGAAUUGAUCUUCCAAAUUUUAUUUUUGUCAACAAUAUACCUAUGUAAGAGAUGGUUAGUUUAGAAUUUUUCUCUUAAACCAUAGGGAAAAAUGGAAAAAGAAUACCAUUAUUUUCGUACAAGGUCAUAUAGUUUAACAAUGUUUGAAGAGGGUUUCAUUAUAUACUAUCAAACAAUUAAUUUGGUGUGGUCACUUACGUAUUUUUAAGUUGUUGUCUUCUUCAUUUUGUAGGCUCUAAUUGCAGGAGGUAGCGACACAAUAGUUGUCACUCUAACUUGGGUGCUCUCUCUCUUCUAUUAAACAACCAUGACACCUUAAAAAAAGCACAAGAAGAAUUGGAUACACAAGUUGGCAAGGAAUGAUUAGUGAAUGAACAAGAUAUCAGUAAAUUGUUCUAUCUCCAAGCCAUUGUUAAAGAGAUAUUAUAGUUAUAUCCACCACGACCACUUGCAGGGCCACGCCAAUUCACUGAGGACUGCACCUUGGAUGGUUACCAUGUCUCUAAAGGCACCCGAUUAAUAUUGAACAUUUCCAAAAUCCAAAAGGAUCCAAGAAUUUGGUCAAAUCCAAUAGAAUUCCAAUAAGAGAGGUUUCUCACCACCCAUACGGACCUUGAUCCUCGGGGAAAAUAUUUUGAAUUUAUACCCCCAUUUGGCGCCAAUAGAAAAGCAUGUCCUAGAAUGACUUUUGGUCUUCAAAUGCUACAUUUAACGUUGGCCAAUUUUUUACAAGUGUUUGACUUUUCAACUGCGUCAAAUGCACAUAUUGAUAUGCAUGAGAGUCUUGGACUUACAAACAUGAAAUCUACCCCACUUGAAGUACUCAUUUCCCUACACUUGUCUUCUUGUAAUCUUUACAACUAAAACAUUGAAACAAAAAGGUCAAAGUCGGCAUAGCUAGCUAGUCUUAGUUUGAAGACGUUAGCUUCAGUCAAUCUACAAUAAGAUUUAGAAGUGUAUUAAAAGUAGGUUGGACUUGAUACUUUUAAGGAAUGCGAUGCUAAUUCUAUUUGAAUGGGUAAUGAUUCAGACUCUAAAAUCAUUAGGAUUUAAAUCAUAAAGGUGAGGAUAUUUUAUGGUAUUAUAAGGAUGUUGAGUAAUGUUAAGCAUGUUCCCAAGUCGAGGAGGAGUUUAAAUUUCUUUAAGGGCUUUGGACACUUUGGGUUGUGAUUUUUUUGUGAAGCAUAGUAUUAUGGGUAUCAAUAAAGUGCUUUGACAACUAUGAAAAGGAAAAAAGUGAAAAAUUUAUACACCUUAAUCAAUAAGACAACUUAUAGGUGGAGUUCUAAAGGAGUCAUGUUAACAGAAAGAAGGAAUGACACGUAUUUAUUCUUCAUAAUUAUGUAUAAUUAAGAGAUUUGAGUCAAUGCAUGUGGAGAUUAUUGGUAUUUGAAUCUAAUUAUUUAUUUUUUAUUUUUGAAAAAGUCAAUAUUUAUAAAGUCUAUGUUUUACUAAAUUACCCUUUUGAAUUUGACUAAGAUCAGGAAACUAUUGAUUUAGGGUUAAUUCACAUGAUUUUACAAAUAUGUGGUUUUAAAUAAGAUUUAUACUAAAAAGGAAAAAAAAAAUAAGAAAAGAGGAAAACUUAAAUAGGUAAAUAGUCUAUUGAGUUUUGGAUGGAGAAAUGUUGAGAGAAUUUGAAGAUUUUCUUUGUGAAGCAUAUUAAUAAAUUUUAUCUUCCUUUCCCAGGUCUUUUCUAUUUAUUUUAUUUUUCCUGCUCAAUUUGAGUGUUUCAAUUUUUCCAGAACAUGGACAGUACAAAUGGCCAGAUGUUUCAUAUACGGUGCAUGUCAUAAAGUCGCCGCCUUCAGCUUGGCAAGAAAUCAAGCGAAACUGGACUUGAACUUGUCAUUCUUAAGGAAAUAAGCGCCAGCUAGGGUUCAAAUUUUAUGAUGUGAGCAUGCAACACUUAUCCCAAUCCACUGUUCUACUAAUAGGAUGUAGAAGACAACAAGCAAUUGUAGGAGCUUAUCUUUUUUUAUUUUUAUCAAGGUAGUUUCUGAAAGGAUGUGGAUCAACAUCGAUCUGUAGUGAUCCCUAGAAGGCUCCACUGUUCUAAUAAUAGGAUGUAGAAGACAGCAAGCAAUUGUAAGAGCUUAUCUUUUUUUCUUUUUUUUUUAUCAAGGCAGUUUCUGAAAGGAUGUGGAUCAACAUCGAUCUGUAGUGAUCCCUAGAAGGCUCCACUGUUCUAAUAAUAGGAUGUAGAAGACAGCAAGCAAUUGUAGGAGCUUAUCUUUUUUUUUUUUUUUUUUAUCAAGGCAGUUUCUGAAAAGAUGUGGAUCAACAUCGAUCUGUAGUGAUCCCUAGAAAGGCUGUUUUCUAAAUAUAGUAUUAUAAUAAAAAUAACGUUUGCCGAAAUUAAUAACGUUUGGAUAUGUUACAUGAGAGAAACAAACACGAGUACUCCUUGUAGUACAUGAGAAACCAUAUAUAUAUAUAUAUAUGCUUGAACGGGGGAGCUACCCACAGUUUAACCACAGUGAUCCAAUAACGACAUUCUGAGCUACAAUGGAUUUCCUUCUCCAAUGCCUAAACCCUGUCAUGGUUGGAGCGUUUGCAAUACUCGUCCUCUCAUACCACCUGUUAUUAUGGAGGUCUGGAGCUGGUAAGAGCAGAAUGGCACCUGAAGCUUCUGGUGCAUGGCCCAUAAUAGGUCACCUGCACCUGUUAGGUGGAUCUAAGAAUUUGCCUCACUUACUUUUUGGAACCAUGGCCGACAAGUAUGGACCAGUAUUCAGCAUCCGGCUGGGAUUAAAAAGAGCUGUGGUUGUGAGUAGUUGGGAAAUGGCCAAAGAAUGCUUCACCACCCAUGACCUGGCUCUGGCCUCCCGUCCUGAGCUUGUGGCCGCCAAAUAUUUGGGAUAUAACUAUGCCAUGUUUGCUUUCUCUCCUCACGGUGCAUACUGGCGUGAAGUGCGUAAGAUAGCCACUCUAGAGCUACUCUCGAACCGCCGGCUAGAGUUGCUGAAGAAUGUCCGAAUCUCAGAGGUGGAGACAUGCAUGAAGGAACUAUACAAGCUUUGGGCAGAGAAGAAAAGCGAAGCAGGCGUUGUUUUGGUGGACAUGAAGCAAUGGUUUGGGCACUUGUCUCUGAACGUGAUUCUUAAGAUGGUUGUUGGAAAACGAUAUUUCGGUUAUGCAGCCGAAAGUAAAGAGAAAGAGGCCCAGCAGUGCCAGAAGGCGAUUAGGGAAUUCUUUCGUUUGUUGGGACUCUUUGUGGUGUCGGAUGCCCUUCCUUUUCUUGGAUGGCUUGACGUGGGUGGACAUGUGAAAGCCAUGAAGAAGACUGCAAAAGAAUUGGACGGUAUUGCUCAGGAAUGGUUAGAGGAACACCGACGGCGAAAAGAUUCGGGUGAAGCUGAUGGUGACCAGGACUUCAUGGACGUGAUGCUGUCCAUUCUGGGUGCCACAGACCCUAAUGGCUAUGAUGCUGAUACCAUCAACAAAGCCACAUCCCUGGUAUGCACAUUAUUCCUUGAGUAUCUUUACUGCUUGUAAAAAAAAGAAGCCAUAUUUUCAUGCUUUAUCAUCUUUAAUCCAGAUUCGAGUACUUAAGGCCUUGGUUGGAAUAGCUUCCUAUUUUUGCUUUAGUUGCAAGUUGAAACUAAUCAAAAGUCACAAUUUUUAAAAGGUAAUUAUAAUAAUGGUAUUAUAAAAGUUCAAACAUAAAAUAACUUUUUGCAUGCGAGAAAAAUAGAGUUAAAAAAAAAAAAACAAUAUUCUCAUGAUUUUCAUAUUAAAUUUUAAAAAAAUUGUAAACUUUUAGAUAAAAAUUAGACAAAUUUAUCAUAGAAACUCGUACUAAACUUAAGAAAAAAAAAGCCUUCUUUUUCUAAGAAAUUGAUACAUAUAGACUUUUAUUAUAUGUUGGUUUUUGUCAAAAGAGUAACAUGAGCAGCUUAGAAAAGCAAUUAGAAUGAAGUACAAUUGGGCUGAGAAUCUGAGUAUAACUAGAAUUUUGUAGAACCUCUCAUGCUAGGAUAAUUGGGCUGGACUGGUAAUGAUACAAUUCUACGUUGGAGUUGGGUGGCCCAAAAAGAUUAUGCUGUUAUAAUAGCUGGUUCUCUCAUUUAGGAAGAGGCAGCCCAAUUUGCAUCCCUGAACGAUGCACCGCUCGGUGGCUGGGACCAUGGAAAAUUUUCUUGUUAGAAAGAUCAUGAAAUUAUGGUCCUUAGUUUGAGGCCUCUUUGAUUGGGCUUCUUGAGUUAGUUAAGGCAAUUGGGCCUUUCAAAGGAUUUCCUUAGUAAAUUUACAUGUUUUUUUUUUUUUUUGUAUUUUUGUAAAAUGCUAAAUUUAUAAGUGAGUUUCAAAUUCAAGCUAAACAUAUCAAUUUUGAUUGAAAAAAAGAAAGAAAGAAAGAAAACAUAAGUCUUUUUCCACCCUUAAUCAUGUCACUACUUUUAAUUUUAUUAACAUUUAUUAAUUGUUUAUAUUUCACAGAUUUUGAUUGCAGGAGGCACCGACACUACAUCUGUUACUCUAACAUGGGCAAUCUCAUUAUUAUUGAACAAUCCACAUGUGUUAAGAAAAGCUCAAGAAGAAUUGGACACUCAUGUUGGAAAAGAGAGACUAGUAAAUGAAAUGGAUAUAAGCAAGUUGGUCUACCUUCAAGCAAUCGUUAAAGAGACAUUGAGGUUAUAUCCAGCAGCCCCACUUUCAGGACAACGUCAAUUUAUCCAAGAUUCCGUAUUAGGCGGUUACCAUAUCCCAAAAGGCACUCGUCUUCUAUUGAACCUCACCAAGAUCCAAAGAGACCCAAGAGUAUGGUUGAACCCAACAAAGUUCCAACCAAGUAGAUUCCUCACCACCUACAAAGAUGUUGAUGUUAAGGGUAAACAUUUUGUGUUGACACCAUUUGGUGGUGGACGAAGAAUUUGCCCUGGAGCAGCUUUUGCCCUUCAAGUGUUACCUUUAACACUAGCCAACUUCCUACAUAAAUUUCAACUUUCAACUCCAUCAAAUUCACCCAUUGAUAUGAGCGAGAGUUUUGGAAUAACAAACAUCAAAUCCACUCCACUUGAAGUUCUCAUCUCCCCACGCUUAGCUUCUUAUAAUCUUUAUAAGUAGAACUUAAGGUCACUGAGAGAGACUAUUUAAAAGAACCUAGUGCUAUGCAAUGAAAAAUAAAAAUAAAUUUUAUAUAUGUGGCAAAAGUUUAGUAUUAUUUUAAAACAGUUACUAAUGUGUGUAUUGCUUUAAUAUUGUCUUAGCCCGAAUUUAAUGAAAAAUAUUUUCAGCACCUUUUUCGUGAGGACAAAUUAUGACCCAAUUUCUUGUUAUGUUUUUUCCUAAUGAGUUUCCAAGUUGAUUAAUUGGUCUCUCUUUUUUGAUAUAUUUCAGCUACCUUUUUGUACAUCAUUAAAGUAGUAAAUAUAUAGAGACCAAAAUUACGACUUCUCCGAUUUCAUUGUAAAAAGUUGGGAUGUGCAAGGUGGGUCGAUUCAACUUUGAGUAUUAAAAUCAAAUCGAAUUGAUCUAAUUAGUUUGUAUAUAUACACUGAAGAAUUGAUUUAAUUGAACUUAAAGGAGAAAAAUGAUUAGUUUGACUUGAUUAACAAUAAUCUAUAUAAGUUGGUUUAUUUUGCUUCAGUUUAUAACAUCAAAAAUCAACUUUUUUGUUUUGCUAAUUUGGACUAAAAUAAAAAAGCCCGUGAUUAGACAUUGUUGAUCAAAUGAUAUUAUUACAACUAAUUUCAGGUCAUAUUAUUAUAACUUAAUUACAAGAAUAGAUAUUAUUAAUUAUAACCCAUGUCAAUCAUAUUAAGUAGACCAGUCAUAGAUAAAGUUAUAAAGGUAUGAUUUGAGGAUCAUGGAAUGAGAAAAAUGUAUACCAAUUAAUAAUGGAACCAAUAGUUAUAUUGCACAUUAUUAGUAUGUGCAUGUACGUACAACUUUCAAUUCAAUUCAGUUUGGUUUAUUAAUUUUCUAAAUAGGUAAUCGAAUUGGUAUAAUUUAGUUUUAUAUUUAAAAAACCAAAAUUAUUUAAAAAAUAUUUGAUUUGGGUAAGUUGGAUUGAUUUUAUCAAUUGUACACCCUAAAACUAAAGGGGUGUCCAUUUAUCUAGUUACAAUUUUGCCCCAGUUGAUUCACAUUUUUACUUAUUAUUAUCCACUUUGUUUACGCAUGAAUUAUAAUUUUGCAGAAUUUUGCUUUAUGAGAUUCAUAUUUGUACUUAUUAUUGUCAACUUUGUAUGCUCAAAAGUUACAAUUUCCCCUCAUCAUGAGAUUCACAUGUGUUGCUGUCAUAAUUGACUUUCCACAAUCAUGUAUAAAUUAUUACAUUUUAAUAGAUGCAUUAUCAUUUUGGCAUUAAACAAAAUGGAAAGAAGUCUCUGAAGUGAAGUUAAUCUCACUUAGGUAAUGCAAGUAACAAUAAUAGAGCAAUUAAAUGCAUAAUUAAAUAAAUGAAAAAGAAGAGAUAACAAGUAUGAACUCCGAUUAAUAUAUAGCCCAAUCCUAUACUCUCCUCAAGCUCCAAAUACAAGUUGAGGUUCCACUAGCAUUUAAGGCUUCAAUCGAGCGUUAAUCCUUUACACUCAAUUCUCAAUUUCAAUGACCUUCUUACACUUUCAUUCAAAAAAAUUCUCACUCUUGAAUCUAAUUAAAGAUAACAAAGUCUAAACUCAAGAUGAUAUAAAUGAAAACCAAGAUGGUUUUUUCUUGGCUAGGAUUUCUAAGUUAACAAGGAAGAUCAAUCGGGUUAAGUUAGAUUUUGAUAUCUUAGUUUGCGAGUUUUUUAGGAUCCUAUUUUAAUCUUAUUGUUUUAUCCCAAAACCGUGUGAGAGAGAAAUGAUUAAUUUUAGAUGACAAUUGUACUCCAAAAAUUAUUGGUUCAAAUUUAUUUUACCAUACCACCAUGUUAUAGUUAAAGACACAAAAUUGAAAUUAAAGUUAAGUAUAUUGUUCUCGAUUUGGUUUAGUAAUGACACAAUUAAUAAUUGAACUUAAUGUAAAAACAAGUCUAAAAACUUCAAAAGUUUAAAAUGUAAUUUCAUUAUUAGUUUUCACUUGCCAACUUUAAUAGAUUAUUUUUCAUAAUAUUAGCAAAGGAUACACACACCAAAAGAAAAAUAUUAUAAUGUCAUUGGUGAAUUGAUCUAAACUUUCAAAAUAAAGGUUUUGAUUAAAAAAUCAUAAAACUUUUUUCAAGGAUAAAAAAUAAAGGUCAAGAAUUUAAACUACUAAACCUCAAUAUAAAUUUUGGAUGAUUCAUUAAUGUCGUCCAUUAAGAAGCAUGAGGAAGUACUGAGUCAUAAAUGUGAAGAAGAUGAAUAAAUAUUUAUCGAUAUAAGAUCUAAGAGGUAAUAGUGUGUUACUUAGGUAAAUCUAUAUACGCUUAUUUCAAAGUUCAUGGAAUCUUAUUAUGAUUAACAAACACAUGUUUUUAACAUCCAUAGAGGUUGAAAUAAUACGUGGAGAUGACUUUUAACUUAUAUUUUGUGUGUUUAUGUAUAAUUUUGAUUUCAUUUUACGGUGAUUCUAAAAAGUAUUUUUAGUUUAAGAAGUGUUUUAAAAAAAAAAAAGUAUUUAACAAAAUUUAAUAAACACUUUUAAGAAUAUGAAAAUUCACUUACAGUAUUUUUUGAAAAAAAUAUUUGACAAAUAAUUAUCUUAAAAACAUUUUCAUAUAAUUAUAUUAAUGAAUUUGAGAUAGACUUGAAAUUUAUUAAUUUAUAAUAUCUUAUUUGAACAUAAAAUUUUAACCAAUACCUAUUCAAUCCCGUAAUUAUUAAAAUCAAGAAUAUACACUCAUAAUUUAUAUUAAUAUAAAGAAGUAGAAAGCACUUUCAUCUCAAAUUUAAGCAUAGGGCCCAAAUUUUGUUGAGAGCUGGCCGGAUGUCAUCACAAGCAAGAAAACUAGAAAACAUGGCUAAAGGCUGCUACAGAUGUACCUACGUGCUUGACUGAAAGAAAGGAUUUGCUACAAGAUAAAUUGUCCCCUUGUCUGUAAACCCUCAAGUUGUGACAGCAAAAAAAACAAAAGUAGGCCAAAGAAUUUGUCACUAUUAAGAGCCCAGAGAGGUCUACGUUCAAACUCUGGUAAGAGGAGCGUGCACCACUUGUUCACUGUUUAGGGAUUCAGUCGAUAUUUCUAGGCUCCAUGGUGCAUGGUAGGCAACCGCCCUGUGCGAUGCUGUAACGAUGAAGAUAUACAGAUAUUGCGCUCCAAAUGUCCGGAUGUUGCUUUCUUGUUUCACUGAAGUUUUCCUGAGUGCGAUCGAUAUCAGCAUUUGCUUUAUCGGUACCCACUAUUGACCGAGUUAACUUAUUUGGGAGCAGCUUCUUUCAUACUGCGCCUAUUACGACAAUGAUAUAGAACCCAUUAGUACACAUUUCAUUGGUUUGAGCACAAUGAUCCUCGAGUUUUGGGUUAAAAUGACCCAUUUUUUAAACUUAACGUUGAAAAUGAACUCAUUUUCAAACUAUUGUUCAAAAUGGCCUCUUUGAUGCCACAUCAACCCAUAAAAUCAAUAUUUUAUACCCUUUUUACUUUACCUUUCCAAUCACCCCCGUCCUCCGUUUAAAAUGGCCUUUUUGAUGUCACAUCAGCCCAUAAAAUCAAUAUUUUAUACCCUUUUUACUUUACCUUUUCCAGCCAUCCCCGUCCUCUGUUCUCUCCCGUUCUACUAUCUCCUCUGUGCGAUUUUUUAUGGGGCAUUGAUUAAUAAUAUUAAUAGCCAUAGAUAACAGAUUUAAAAAAAAAAUAAAAGUUGUAAAUAAUGAUAAAUAUAUUUGAAUGGAAUGAUUUUUAAUUCUUUUUUCUUUUUUUAGAAUUUGAGUGGAAUAGGGAAUGUGUUUGCUAAGAAUUUCGACCGACUCAAUAGAUAAUGUGAUUUUUAAAUAUAUUUUUUGGUUAUCUAAAUUUAAUGUUUCUAUCAUAAACUGGAUGUAUCUUGCAUGAAUAUAUAUAUAACAUGUUUGCUAGGAAAAAAAUGAUUUUGGAUAUAAACAAUUUCAAAGUAAAAAAUGAAUAAAUAAUUUUUUUCUAAUAAAGAAAUCUUAAAUAAUUUUGUCUCAACAGCUCUUAAAUAUAAAAUACUCAUCUAGAAUUUUUUUGCCUUGAUAUCAAGAAAACUUCUCAAAUAAGAGUAAACACUUUUUUUUUAAAAAAAAAGCCAGAUUCUUAAAGUAUAGACAUUUUCUCUUUAAAAAGACUUUUGUAUUUGGUUAUAUCCAAAUUUCUAAUAUAUAUAUAUAACUAAUGCAAAAUACUUACACAAAAGAGGGCUAGCUCAAUUGGUGGCUCACAGUUAUUUUUGAAAAAAAAAAUGUUGUCUCACAUUAUUCAAUAGUAUUGAUCAACAUUUCCCCUAAAAAGGAGAGAUUCAAAAUUUUUCAAUGUAACCUGAUAAAAGAAAAAUANNNNNNNNNNNNNNNNNNNNNNNNNNNNNNNNNNNNNNNNNNNNNNNNNNNNNNNNNNNNNNNNNNNNNNNNNNNNNNNNNNNNNNNNNNNNNNNNNNNNUUUAUAUAUAUUUUUUGAGGAUAUAAAUAUAAAAUGUCUCUCACAAACAGGGGGUGUCUCGCGGAAAUAUAUAUAUAACACGUGUGCGGGGAAAAAAAAAUUUUUGUAUAUAUACACUUUCACAGAGAAAAAAGUAUAUAUAUUUUUUUUCUAAAAAAAAGAUAUUAAAAAAUUUUGUCUCACCAGCUCUCAAAUAUAUAAUACUCAUCUAUAAUUUUUUUGCCCCGAUAUCACAAAAAAUUCUCAAAUAAGAGUAAACACUUUUUUUUUAAAAAAAAAAAGAGAGUUUGCCAACAUAUGCGCUAGCCCUCUUUUGUGUAAGUAUUUUGCAUUAGUUAUAGUUAUAUAUAUAUAUAUAUAUAUUAGAAAUGUUGUAUGAUUUUUGAAAAAAAAUAAAAGUGAGCUAGCUGUUCAAAAUUAUUUUUGAAAAAAAUAAUUUUGUCUCAAAUUAUUCAAUAUUAUUGAACAACAUUUCCCCUAAACAGUAGAGAUUCAAAAUUUUUCAAUGUAACCUGAUAUAAGUAAAAUAUGAAUGAAUUGAAAAAAAACGACAAUUUCUAACAACAUUAAUUUCAUUAUUAAAAUUUUAAAAAUUUGAACAGCAUCUCCCCUAAAUAAUAGAGAUUAAUAUUUUUUUCAUGUAACCUAAUAUAAGCAAAAUAAGAAUGAAUUGACAAAAAAUAAUAAUUUCAAACAAACAAAUGUCAAUAAGAUGUUCAAUAAGAUAGUUUCUACAUAUAUCUUAAAACGAUUAAGGUCAAUACUAGUAAAUUUAAAAAAAAUAAGUACAAUAAGAUGUUCAUAAAGUAUAUCAACUCCUCCUAUCAUUGGUUUCUCUAUUAGGACAAGAACGCCGAUUGUGACCCGAUUGCUUGCAAAGUCCACAUGUUUGUGGAGUCCUAGUUUCCCUUGCAUCCAUCUCAUUAUGCAAACGACUUGAUUUUGGUCGACCAAAAGUUAGUCGUUUCAUUGAGUCUGAAGGCACAAUUAUCGGUCCAUUAUAUUGAGGCCACUCCAACUCAUCAAAUAUGGGAUAAAACAAGGGAGCCCAUGUUGAUAGGUAAGCACGUGUGGUGUAAUAACCAUGUACAAAUUGUCGAAAAUCAAUUGCUCGACAAUGACAAGUAGCAAGAAUGUGCGAACAUGGGAAUCCUAACAAAAGUGUUUUGUUACAUGUGCAAGACCCCGUUUGAAGGGUAACAUGAUAUGUGCGAGGUUUCCUAUUACUACUUCCAACAGAGUGUCUAGUUUUAACAUGAAAACGUCUCGCCACAUGAUCAUACAAAAGAACCUCAUGUGCACCUGCCUUAACAACUUUAGCCUUUAUCUUGGCGUCAAUAUGUGGAAUGAAUUCUUCACCUGAAGCGAGCCGACUAGCACCAUGCUCCCGCUUGACUGUGAAGUAACUGUUAACCCGAUAAAAAGUUAACUGGACUAAAGUUGUUAUUGGUAAGUUACGAGCACCCUUAAGGACACCAUUAAAAACUUCAGACAUAUUAGUUGUCAUAAUCCCAUAUCUCCUCCCACCAUCAUAUGAGAGUGCCCAUUUUUCAAGAGGAAUUUGCUCCAACAAAUUUCUAGCCUCGACAUUUAUCUGGCCAAUUGUAUCCAUGUGAGAAAUAAAUUUUUUAACUUUACUCUCCAUAGCAGCCCUACACAUGAGAUCCUUUAAAGUCUUAUCUUUGAACUUUGUGUUGAAAUUACUCGCUAAAUGACGCAUGCAAAAUCUAUGACAAGCAUCUAGCUGAGUCCAUCCCGAAUAUGUUUCAUUGACAGCAGCUAUAAUGCCAGGAUGACGAUCAGAAAUCAGACACAACCCUUUCCUUUGUGUUACUCCAACUCGGAUACAUGCCAAAAACCAACUCCAACUAUCUAUAUUCUCUACUUCUGUAAUGGCAAAUGCAAGUGGAAACAAUUGGUUAUUACCAUCACAUCCCAUAGCAAUCAGCAAAGUUCCUUUAUAUUUUCCAUACAAAUGUGUCCCAUCAAUACUGAGAAUUGGUCGACAGUGUGCAAACCCUUUAAUAGAUGAAGCGAAUGCCCAAAAAACAUGCUGAAAAAUUUCUUCAUUCGGAUUGUUUCCAAGAACCAUUUUGGAAUACAUAAUGCAUCCAGGAUUUGACUGCUCCAAGGCAAGGAAGAAACGAGGCAACUCUGCAUAAGACUUGUACCAAUCACCAAAUAAUCGAGUCAUUGUUUUCCUUUUUGCCUUCAUUGUUUUUUGAUAAGAAAUUUGGUAACCAAAUUGUUCCGCAACAACAGCUUGAAUUGCAGCAACUCUAAUGGUCAUUUCUACCUUCACCAAUGUUUCAAUAUACUUAGAUACAAAGCUAGAAUCCAACUGUGAAUGAUCUUGAUUAAUACAUGGAUUGACACAUGUAUGAGGACCUUUGUACUUUGUGAUUCUAAAAAUACCCGUAUCUUUCACUGUCAUUGCCUUUAGUCGCCAUUGGCACUCUGGUGCUUUUUUACAUUGAAGAACUAACACACUUGCAUUUGAUCUAUAAACAGUAAACUCUUGGUGCGCCUUUAUGGAAAACAUCUUCACAGCAUGUUGCAAAUCUGAUUUUGAGGAAAAUAUUUGGCCAAUUAAUAAUUAUCCAUCAACAUUUCCUAAAGUUGGCUUUUUUCAUGGAGUCCAAUCACUUACAACACAAUUAAUUGCCGCAUCCAUAUUUAAAAAUUGUGGUGUAGGUGGCAUAUGGUAUGAAACGGGUACAAAUGUUUCCUGUAGGUUGUCAUUAGAGAUAUUAAAUUGGGUACCAUGUGGAGAGGCAACUAGUGAUGUGUUUUCAACCUCAAACUCAACCUCAGGAUUAUUAGACCUAUCACCAACUUCAAGGUUCAAAAAUCUUGUGCUUUCACAUUCCACAACUUGUUGGACCAUCACCAAAUCAAUAUUUUCUGUUUGACAACAAUUUUCAUCAUCAUUAGGUAAAUGAAUCUCAUCUGUGUCGAUUGCAUCAUCUCUAUCAUCUUCCUCAUCUCUCUCAUUUUCGUCAUCAACAUCAGUAUCACCUGUUGAUAAUCGUGUCAAAUGACCCAUUUCAUUACUCAAAUGAUAAUGGUUGGGAGUUUGCUCUAUGAAUAAUUGAACUGAAGACAUUCCAUACUUCGAUGGCACCAGUAGCAUACGUGCAACUGUCCGAUCAUUUCUCACCACUAAUGGUUGAAAUUUGUUCAUUUCAGUUGGAUGAUGACAUUUCAAGACUAAUUGAUAGUCUCUGUCAACACCAAUGAUAUCAUAUAUCAUCUUCAACAACUCCACAAAGGUCGUAUGAAUGGGCACAUCUAUAGGCUCAAUCUCUACAUUAUUUCUAAUAUAUCUCAAAUCCGUUUCUGUCCUCAAAAUUGUUCCAUUCCAAUAACAUAGCACUUCUACUGUGGAAUCAGUCAUAAUUGCCUUCACAUAAAUAAUAACAAAAGGUUAUUACAUAAAAAAAAUUAUAUUUAUUUAAGUAAAAAAUAAUGACAGAUUUUAAUAUACAUAUGUUUGUGUAUACAUGGACUUAAAUAUAAAAAAAAAAAACAAACCCAAAACCUCCAUUUUUUUAAACAACAACUAUCUCAUUUCCUGUUCUUGUUUUGUUAAAAACUCAUUUUAAUUAAGCCCAACAGCUGUAAUGGGAGGGCCUCGGUUUUUUGCAACAAUAAUUUACUCUCCUUGUAGCCAAUUCUCACCAACCAAACAUAGCAACAAAACACAAUCAACACAGCCACAAUCAACACAGCCCAACAAAAAAAAUUCUAAAAACCGAGAUUUUGAGAUGAGAAAAAAAAUUGGAAAGUGCCAAAAACUUUAUAUAAGCCAAAAAGAAGAUUAUGACUCACCUUAAACUUUUUUGUAGCUCCACCGUUUUUUUUAGUGGCCCACUAGUGAGGCUAGGGUUUACAAAAAAAAAUCGCACAGAGAGAUAGCAGAAUGGGAGAGAACAGAGCUCGGGGAUGGUUGGAGAAAAGGUAAAGUAAAAAGGUAUAAAAUAUUGAUUUUAUGGGCUGAUGUGACUUCAAAGGGCUAUUUUGAACAGAAAAGAUAAAGUAAAAAGGGUAUAAAAUAUUAAUUUUAUGGGCUAAUGUGAUUUCAAGGGGCUAUUUUGAACAAUAGUUUCAAAAUUAGCCCGUUGUCAACUUUUAAGUUUAAAUGGGCCAUUUUGGCCCAAAAGUCAUGAUCCUCAACCUAGCAUGAUGAUCAGUCACCUCAUCUGCAGACCACUUUAGGAAAUAAUUAAUUGUAUUGAUUUUUCAACCGCAUGUACGAAGAGCUUUAUCAAAAUCGGAUUGAAUGCAUCUUGAUCAGCAUGCGACAGAGAUUCCAUUCUCGUCAAAGUAAUUCGGUGGGCGCCCUACAUCAUCUUAAUUCCAAUGUUGAAAUUAAAGAGGGCUAUACAUCAACUCUGGUAUGAUAAGCUAAGGAUCAAAAUAGGGCUGCUACUUUAUAUAGGAUUAGACCAAAUAAAGCUGAUAGAUUGAUAUUACAUUUGAUUACAUUGGAAAGUAACGUUGAACCUAUGAUGAAAGACAAUUCUACUGGGUCAUGCCCCUAGCACUAAAUGCUGAUAAAAAGCAAGUAUGUGUUCAAAAGAAAUUAAUUCUAUAUAUGCAUAUUUGCGCUCAAACCGAAAACUAUCCACGACUCAACUAUAGUUAUCCUUCCUUCGGGCAUUAUAAGCUAGCUGCCAUGUAUUUCCUUCUCCAAUACCUAAACUUUACAACAGUCGGAGUCUUUGCCACACUUCUCCUUUCCUACUGUCUAUUAUUAUGGAGGUCUAGAGAAGGUAACAGCAAAAUAGCACCUGAAGCCACCGCUGCAUGGCCCAUAAUCGGUCACCUGCACCUGUUAGGUGGGUCUGAUCAGCUUCCCCACAUAACCUUGGGAAACAUGGCCGACAAAUAUGGGCCGGUCUUCACAAUUCGUCUUGGGGUGCAUCGAGCUUUGGUGGUGAGUAGCUAGGAGAUGGCUAAAGAAUGCUUGACCACCAAUGACCAGGCUGCAUCCUCGCGUCCCGAACUUUUAGCCUCAAAACAUUUGGGCUACAACCACGCCAUGUUUGGUUUCUCUCCGUACGGUUCUUACUGGCGUGAAGUGCGCAAGAUAAUCAACCUAGAGCUACUCUCUAACCGCCGCCUAGAGCUGCUGAAGGACGUCCGAGCUUCAGAAGUGGUGACAUCCAUAAAAGAGCUAUACGAGCUCUGGGAAGAGAAAAAAAAUGAAUCGGGCCUUGUCUCGGUGGAGAUGAAGCAGUGGUUUGGAGACUUGACUCUGAACGUAAUUCUUAGGAUGGUGGCAGGGAAGCGUUAUUUCAGUGCUUCAGAUGCAAGUGAAAAUAAACAGGCGCAGAGGUGCCGGAGAGUGUUCAGGGAAUUCUUUCAUUUGUAAGGGCUCUUUGCGGUGGCGGACGCUAUUCCUUUUCUUGGAUGGCUAGACUUGGGGAGACAUGAGAAGACCCUAAAGAAGACAGCAAAAGAAAUGGACAGUAUUGCUCAAGAAUGGUUAGAGGAGCACCGUCGGAGGAAAGACUCCGGUGAAGUUAAUAGUACGCAAGACUUCAUGGAUGUGAUGUUGUCAGUUCUUGAUGGCAAAAUCCUUGGUGAUUACGAUGCUGAUACCGUCAAUAAAGCCACAUGCCUAGUAUACAUUAUUGGAACACCCACAUAUCAUAUAUAUUUGCAUAUUAUCAGGGCUAGCUUUAUUUCCAUAGGUACUUCUCUUAAUUUUGAAGUGUUACACUGCAAUAAUCAAAUAAAUUUUAAAUUUUAUUUUUUAAAAAUAAAAUUUAAAAAUAUAUAUACCGCUGAAAGAAUUGAUUUCAGAAAAUUAUUCUUUGAGAGCACCUUUGAUAAACUGAGACAUGUUUCUAGGGAAUACUAAAUAUGAUGUUUUUAAAAACGGCUUAAUUUGUAAUUUUAUUUUUGAGCAAGUUGCAAAAUACUUUAUCUGCUUCCAAUUUUCAUUUUGGUCGGCAAUAAGGGGCAAUAAGGGGUUAUCCAGGUUUCCGUAGUUAUAUUUAAUUUCCCUUGUAGAAAAUAAGUGAUCUUGAAAUCAUAAGUUUAAUCAUGUUUGCUUGAAUAAGAAACUUGAAGAUCCUGUAAAGAGAUGACAUACAUCGUUUGGGCAAUAUACCUAUGUAAGAGAUGGUUGGUUUAGAAUUUUUCUCUUAAACCAUAUAUAGGAGAAAAUGGAAAAAAAAAAUACUGUUAUUUUUUUACUAGGCCAUACUAUUUAAUAGUGUCUGAAGAGAGUUUCAUUACAUGCUAUCAAACAAUUAAUUUUGUCUCAUCACCUGCGUAAUCUUAAGUUGUUAUCUUUUGUGUUUUGUAGGCUCUAAUUGUAGGAGGUAGUGACACAACAGUUGUCACUUUAACUUGGGCGCUCUCUCUUCUAUUAAAUAAUCGUGACACCUUGAAAAAGGCACAAGAAGAAUUAGAUAUUCAAGUUGGCAAGGAAAGAUUAGUGAAUGAACAAGAUAUCAGUAAAUUGGUCUAUCUCCAAGCCAUUGUUAAAGAGACAUUACGAUUAUAUCCGCCAGCGGCACUUGGAGGACCACGUCAAUUCACUGAGGACUGCACCUUGGGUGGUUACCAUGUCUCCAAAGGCACCUGAUUAAUAUUGAAUCUUUCCAAAAUCCAAAAGGAUCCAAGAAUUUGGAUGAGUCUAACAGAAUUCCAACCAGAGAGGUUUCUAACCACCCAUAAGGACCUUGAUCCUCAAGGAAAACAUUUUGAAUUUAUACCAUUUGGUGCGGGUAGAAGAGCAUGUCCAGGAAUAGCUUUCGCUCUUCAAAUGCUACAUUUAACAUUGGCCAAUUUCUUACAGGCGUUCGACUUUUCAACUCCAUCAAAUGCACGAGUUGAUAUGUGCGAGAGCCUUGGACUUACAAACAUGAAAUCUACCCCACUUGAAGUUCUCAUUUCUCCACGCAUGUCUUUGUUAUAGUCUUUACAACUAAAAUAUUGAAAUGAAAAGGUAAAAGCUGGCCUAGUUGGCUAGUCUUAGUUUAAAGACAUCUUGAGUUAGCCUUAAGAUGCAUAAGAUAAGAUUUAGGAGUGUAUUAAAAAUAGUUUGGACUAAAAAUGAUGUAUGGUAAACUAAACUAUAAUCUAUUCCAAUAAAAGUAUAGUAUUAUAUAUUAUUUGGCCAGCCUUUUAAAAUUUAGCAUCAUAAAUUUGAACAUAUAUAUAAACCUUAGUCUAACUUUAUUUCUCUAUUUUGUGUAGUUUAUUGGCACUUUUUUUUCCCUUUUUUUUCACCAAAACAGGUAAUACAUAGGCUUUUCAAAAAUAUUACCUAUAUAAGAAUUUUAUUAUUACAUACUUAGAGGAUGUUUGGUAAAUCAAUAUAAUGGCUUAAUGACCUAUUUAAGUCUUAACUAGAUUAAGAAUAUUUGGUAAAAUAACUUAAAGAAUAAAUUAAUUAUUUUAACUUAGCACUUAAAAUUAAAUACUUGACCAGGCAAAAAAAAAAAAAAAAAAAGACUUUUAUGGAAUAAGGGCAAGAAAGAAGAUAAGAAGGAUUAGUAGUUGCCUAGUCGAGGAACUUGAGGCCGACAUUCAGAGUGCGGUCCCAGAGUUCAAGACACCGCCUAAAACUAGUGUCGGUCAUAGAGAGACAUUAAUUUUUCAAUGAAACAAACCCCAUCUCUUGUUCUCUCCCGCCUCAACAGCAGUGGUAAGUGUGGAUAUAGAUCUAAAUGCAAGAUGAUCCCGAACUGAUUUCAUACCACCAUCCAUCACCAACCAAUCACAUUCCACUUCCCACUUCAAACUUUUCGAUUCCUCGGGUAGCCUCCUCUAUAAAGGCAGUCUAGCUUCAGAGGCAGGUGAGCCGGGUCAGGAAGGAGUUUGACUGCUGGGAAGGGAUUGGAUCCUACUCGAAGCACUCCACCAUGAAUAAGAAUCUUCGAGUUAGAUAGGCAGUAGAGAUAGGAACUCCUAUUUGUAGGGUGGGCUUUCAAGACAGAGAUGCACUACUCCAUCUGGAAAGGGCUUUCCCUCGUGGGGAAAGAGUAUGAUUAAGGAAGACCAAUUAAAGAAGGGUGGUCGUAGAUCAGAUAUCGAUUAACUGCUUGGCAACCUAUCCCGAAUUGACCAGUUGACCAGGUAGGAAUACCUGUACUAAUUGCAACAAGAGAGACCAAUAGAGUUGAACAGACAACUGACAGCUCGCAAUUGAGAGACUUUCCUGUUGAGUUGACAGAUGAGCGAUUGCAAGAAAUAGGGGAAAAAAGACAGAUAACGCACAGAUUGACUUAGCAAGAAGCGGUUAGUGGGACUUAGUUCGAGGUUUUAUUCCUCUUUCCUUAUUCGUGAACAUAUGGGACUCUUUCUUUUUGCUUUCUUCAAUCACUUCGAUCUCUGCCACUCUCGCCUGUCGAAGAUAGCCUAGUCUUUUAAAGUAUACGAUUUCCGAGUUAUUGAACUCCUAAAUUCAUUCCGAUUGGGGAAUAAUAAAAGAUGUUAUUAACUUCAAGUUAUCCCAAUAUUUAUAGCUAAAGCCCUAGAGGGCGCGUUCUUAAACCUUUUCGCUACGUGAAAUUUAAGCAAGAUCUCAUCGGUUCUAUCUUUAGCGAAAUCUUCCUUUAGCUUUGAUGUCAGGUGAUCAAAAGAGAUUACCGAAUAGAGCUCUUAUUCAAACCAUCAUUCUUUUCUAGUUAUCACACUCAGAUAGAGGGAAGAUUUAGAUUUGUAUCCCAACUUAUUAAUCCAACUUCCACGAGGUAAGUCAAAUGCUCUAUGGGCGAUGUCUAAGCAGUGUCUACGAACCUAGACGAAAAGGGCUUUCAUUACCAUGUUGGAAUUUUGAACAGGACCACCUACCAAUCAGUAUACGACAACAAAAAGGCUCAGAGAAGCAUUUAGCGAGUAUGAUGGGGCCCAGAUCACAGUAAACUUUGACAAAGCAUGGGGGUCUCUUUGUGACUAUGCAAUUAAAGAGGACGAACAACCUCUGACUUGGAAGGAAGAAAGCCUCGCCCAAAUAAAGGAACGGGUCAAUGCGAAGAAAACUCAUAGGAAGACCGAUAUAGAAACAAAACUAAAAAAUAUUGAUAGGAUGUCAAACAAAGAGGAUAGGUUCCAAGUUUAUGAGGAUUUAGUAUUUGCGCAAAAGUUCCUAUCUUCCUAUUCCUAGGUUAAGUCUAUUUUCGAUGAUCUGAAAAUCUUAAAAGACAUCAAGGGAGAACACCUUGUCAAAUAGAAUCUAUACGAGCAUGGGAAACCUGAUGAAUAUGACAUUGAGGAAUUGAAUUGGGAGAAAAAGACUGACUUAUUUAUUGCUUGAUUUGAUUGCCUAUCAACUUGCUUUUAGUAGACCUAGUAAAACAACUAUUCCUUUUUGAGGAGUCGAGUACCUAAAAAACGAUCAUUCUCCAUUUUCUGUCAAAAGUGCUCCGAAUCUACUUCGCUAGCUCAUGGAAAAAUGACUUCGUGGGGACUCACGAUUACUACAAUUUAUGGGUAUUCUUUGAGUUCCACGAACCAGACACGGGAAGCACAGUCAUUGGAGCAUUCGAAACAGGAACGACUUAUGCUAACACAGUCUUUAAGAUUCUGGACGGGUAUAUCGACUUGACUCCAAAUACAAUCAAAUUAUAACAAAAAAAAAAUGUGCUUAUAAGAAUCAAAAUUCUUGCAAAUAAACUUCCCUUGUGUAUUAGGGACCCUUUCAAGCAAGGUUCCAAACAUUAAGAUUCUUUUCCAAUAAAAAGAUAGUAAAAGAGGCACAAAUCAGAUCAUAGAAACCUUGUGGGGUUGCAUACAACGCCAAAUAACAAGCAGCGCUUACGUACAACGAGAAAAGAUAAAGAAAUUGCCUAGAUCAACUACAACGAAUGCAAAUGCGUAUUAUUACCAAACCUGAUACCACUAGAUUUAUUUCUUAGUUAUAUAAUAUAGUAGCAAACAUGCCGAGAGAAACAAUACCCAUACCUGCUGUGGAUUCACAGGGGGACACGACGGCGAGAAAUUUUUGGCGGACGGAUUAUUCAUCACGCAAUUGGGCCAUACAACAAGGUUAUACAAUGUGGCGUAGAAUCCAGCAGGAAGACGACUUUAUGAAAACAAAAAAGAUCCUAGUAGUGAUACUUGACAUAGAAUCGAAAAGAAGCCAAAGCUACAAGUACGCAGAAGAUGUGGGGGGAGAUGAUACGAGACUUUCUUUAAUCGAUUUUGCCAUUAUUCCCUUGAAGCAAAAAAAAAAAAAGACAAAAGAUAUUAUUAUAUAUUUAAUAACAUAUGUAAAUGGAGGAAAGCACCCUUAUUUUAUUGAAAUACAUCUGUGUGACGAAAGGCAACCCAUCUGGUACCUACCACUACUCGAAAACCAUUUUAUCCAACGGUGUGGAGAAAUUAAAACGAACAUUGUUAGGAUUACGCAACUGGGGCCCUUCUUGAGUGAAAAUGACAAAGAGAAGAGGAAGUCAGAAAAACUCUACCCAUAUUGAUCAAACUAUACCAAAGCGAAGUCUCAUGCAAAAAAGAAAUGAAAUAAAAAAAGGCAAGAUGAGCAAGAAUUUGGGAUAACACGUUUCAUAAACGAAUUCAGCCCUCAAGAACAGAAAGCAUAGGUUGAUGAACUCAUUAAACAAUCCGAGAACACAAACAACUACCCAAGAUUCGGGCUAGAGCUGUGCACAAGUAGGAACUUUAGCCGCCACUAGUACGUACGACAAGUGCAGUGCUUCUGCCCUCUUAUCUUGUUCCUGAACAGGAGGUACACUUGGUCCCUUGUUACAUGACUUUUUUUAUAUCUUUAUGGUCUGAGAUAUCAAGUCGUAACACCGUUGGUUCUUUGAUAAAAUUUUGUAAUGCACCGAUGGUGUUUUAGUUGCCCCUUGAGGGAACCAGUCCUUAUGGUAGAGGGCCAAGAAAAGAUAGCGUGCUUGUGUUGGAAGCAAGCAAGCGGGCAAGCGGGUGAACAAAUCACCAAUUGAACUAGACAUUCGGUUACUAGGAGCAUCCCUUUAUCAGCAUCUUCAUAACUGUCUUCAAGCUUCUGGGCCUCGGAAACACAAUAGAAUCUUGUGAUCGAGUGAAGGGCAAAUGAGCUACCACGUCCCAGCUAAAAAUCUUACCUGAUUUUAGCUACUCCCGUAACCGUCCCUUUGAGUACUUAUGGCAAUCAUUUACCUUAUUUAUACCCAUCUCAAAUAAUGGGACUCGAUUUAUCAUUUGAAUUUAUCUCCAAAAAUUGGACUGAAAGUGAAUAUGUUUUCUUUAUUGUAGAAGUUUACAUCUGGAGCUCCCUUGAGUGGUGUUAGCUGGUCGUAAGUCAGAAAAGGAAAGGAAUGAGGGGCAAGACCGGAGACCUACGACCAUAGGCUAGAGACCGAAGAAUCCCAUAACCUGUUUCGAGAAGGGCAGGCUAGUUUAAGCAUAGUCAUUCGAUUCGACAUCUGCCUCUUUCAAGCGGAUAGAGAAAGGAGAGUAGGAGCACAAGAAGGAUCAGACGAUUCUAAUUGUUAGACAGAGUAGAGGGGAGAGAGGCAAAUUGAGUUUCUGAAGCUGACGAAGUGAUUUACUAUAUUGUGGAGCUUCCACCAACAGUAGUUUUUCCACCAUAAGGGGAGAGAUAUUGCGCUAGGUCAACUCGAGCAUAGGGUUACAGACGGACAUCUUCCGUUCAAUCAGAUGGGACUCUUUGUUGAGAGUUCUAAAGCUAGGUUUGCCACUUUAAACCCAACAGAUGCAAAGCAAAAGCCAAAAAACCAGCAACUCUCUUACUUCAAUUGACUGCUUGACUUCUUUCUAUCCGAUUAGCAUUGGUUUAUGCUGUCUCGAAAACAGGAACUUAGGAUUUUUAUACCAAGAUUCAAGACAAGAAGUCUCGACAUUCCUCAUAUGGGAAAAAAAUGAAGUGGAACCUUCCAAAGGCCCGGGUUACGAUGCUUCAAGUUCAAUGAAGGAAAUUGGGAGAACUUGAAAAUGGACCAUGACUCUAUUAGCUUACUAGCUUAGCUUCGUGAGCUUGCUUCUUUGGUUAGACAAAAAGCAUUCUACUUACUGUCGAAGUGGAAAUCAUUCUCUAGGUCGAUAAUAAAAUAGUGCUUUCAAAGUAGAAAGGAGGACGAACUAUAUUGGAAUUUCUUAGGGCAAAAUUCUCAAAGGCUAGCUAGCAAGAAAGUGAUAGUCUAAUGGUUACAACGAGUGAGCAUACUGGAUUAAGUUUACAAUCUCCGAUAUUAUCCAUUUCAGAAUCUUUCACUAUCGAGAGGAAAUUGUUUNNNNNNNNNNNNNNNNNNNNNNNNNNNNNNNNNNNNNNNNNNNNNNNNNNNNNNNNNNNNNNNNNNNNNNNNNNNNNNNNNNNNNNNNNNNNNNNNNNNNNNNNNNNNNNNNNNNNNNNNNNNNNNNNNNNNNNNNNNNNNNNNNNNNNNNNNNNNNNNNNNNNNNNNNNNNNNNNNNNNNNNNNNNNNNNNNNNNNNNNNNNNNNNNNNNNNNNGGGGGGGGGGAAGCGAUCCAGACAAGGAUAGUCUCAAAGGAUAUUUAGGUUAUCACACACAAAGUGUGGGUCCAUGCGAGCAAGGCUUAGUAGCUUUCCAUGACGAUCCAACAGAUCAAAUAUGAUUCUAGCCAAAGCCAAUUGGAAGAAAUGAAUCUCUUGGGCCUUCUCCUGCGGGCAUCUAAGGUUCUCUUGCUUAAUUUAUUCUUUAUCUCAAUUUUUUUUUCCUUCACUUAUCCAUGUUCAAUAAAACCGUAUUUUACAAUUAUGACUUUGAAUUUACAACUCAUCUUUUAUAGUAAAUAUUUUCGUAAUUUAUUUACAAUACUUUAAAUCUAAAUAUUUAACAACUAAAUUUAUUAUUAUUAUUUAAGAUUAGUAAAACUAUAAAUAUUAGUUAAAAUGAAUGAAGAUAAAUAUAUAGAUUUUAUAAUUCAAAAUAAAUAUUAAGUUAAUUCUAUUAAACAAUCCUAAUAUUAAAAGUAAUAAAUAAGUAAUAAAUUUUAGUUUAAUAAUUUAACUUGAAAUCAAUUUAAUUAAAUUAUUAAAUAAUAAAUAUUAAGUUUUAUCCUGAACGUUAAUCUCAACGACCUUGACAUCUAAAUAUGAUCUGCCCCAAUUAAAUAUUAAACCAUAACUUAACAUAUGCCCGCAUGACCCUCGGAGCAUAUAAUUAAUUCAUUUCAAAGAUCACGGAAGAUCCUUUUAGUAACAUGGCUCCAUUGAUAUAGCAUUCUAUUUAUUGACCGCUACGUAUUAUAUAAAUUCAAAGAUCAUGGAGAGGAUCUUGUCGGCAAUCAUUCGUCAGAAGAAGGGCAGUUUCCUUCAUAAAAUAGUAGACUUUGAAUAAAAGUAAUCUACACAACAUCAUAGCAUAUGCAAGCAAUUUUGGACGGAUUACGAAAGUCAAACCUACUGGGCCACGCCCGUUACAACAUCUCGAAAUAGGGAGAAUUGUGUUUUUGAUCCAGGCCCCAAAAAUUAACAUUUGGUCCUCCAACCACCCAUAUUUAAGCCCAAGACCCAAAUAAAGUAUGAAAAUUAAGAUGAAAGAUAUUGUCUUUCAUUAAUUCCUAAAAUACCCUUAUCCCUUAUAUGCCUACAAGUGAGUGUGAAUUUUAAUUUUUUUUAUAUUUUUUUUCCUUUUCUAUUCCCUAUUAAAUAUUACUUAUUUCUAACUUUUUUUUUCCUUUUUAUUUCAAUAUAUAUUUCUAUUUUAUGUCAAAUAAAAAACAAUAAUAUUUUUUUAUUUUUCAUUUUUAAAGAUAUUGAAUCUUUUUGCUCUUAUUAAAAGCAAUGAUAAAAAUUUUGAGAUUUUUCAUCCAAAUAUUUUUUUAUCUUUUUGUAUUUAUCUUUUAGUUUAAUUUUCAUUUUUUAUUUUAAAUUUAUAUUACCCUUUCAUCUAUAUUUUUCUCUUUUUUUUAUAUUUUCUACAUUAACCAUAUUUUAAAAAUUUUUAAAAUUAACUAUCACUUCACUUUAUUAUAUAUAUAUAUAUCUUUUUAGCUUUUUAAUUUUUAAUGUUUUUAUUUUAAAAUUUUUAAAAAGAUAAAUUUGUUGAAAAAAAAUAAUUAAGAUAUGAAGUUCUAAUAUUAUAUUAAUAAUUUUUCUUAUCUAGAUAGACUAAUGCAAAGUAUUUUGACCCACAACAAGAAAAUUGUCAAUACAAUUUUUUAGUUAAACUUUAAAAAUUAAGUUUCAAAUAAAAUAUAUUAUAUAAAAUUUUAUCUAAAAAUUAUUGAAAGUGGUAUUUAAUUUUUUUAUUUAUUGACUUUGAAACUUAUCUAAUUUUUUACUUGAAAGGUAAUAGAACAUGUUUACAAAAAAAAUUAGUUUUUCAUUUUUUUAAAUAAAUGAGUAUAAAUAUAUUAAAAAAAUUAAAGAUAAUCUUAGUAAAAAAUUUGAUAAAUAUGAUUAUAAUUUUAAAUAUAGAUUCAUGUGGAUAAAAUUUCACAAAAAAAAAAUAGUGGAAAGAAAGAACAUUGCUAAAACUACAAAAACAAAAUAUGCAAUUACAAAAAUUUGAUGAUGAAAUUUAAAAAUAAAAUUCGAAACAAUUCUUGAGUGAGAGAAUUUGAGUGGGGAAAAAAUAUUUGAGUGGAAAAAAAUGGGAAAGUUUUUCGAAAUCACUUUAAAUCCUUAACAAAAAGUAGUCUUAUACACCCUUGUACAAUUAGUAAAUUUGUCUUGUACAAUUAGUGUAAUACCCUUGUACAGUUAGUGUAAUACCCUUGUACAAUAUCUCAAAUUUCAUACAUCAUUUUAUGAAUAUCUAACAAUAGGUCGGUUAACCAUGUUUGCAUCGGUUUGGUUUUAAAAAGGAAAAAAAAUUGUUGUAUAAUUUUGUUUUACAAUCAUCAUAAGUGAGGUACCUAUUAAAAUGACCAUAUACAAGUUAGAUAAAAUUCAUGAGAUGAAUGUAUGCUUAACUAAUGUGUGUAAGAAAUGUCAUUUAUCUUUGGUUAAGGGAAAUAAACAAACAAGUUUUUUAAAAUCACUUAAAAUCCUUCACAAAUAAUAGUCUUGUACACCCUUGUACAGUUAGUAUAUUUGUCAUGUACACUUAGUGUAAAUACCUUGUACAGUGACUAAAAAAAAAACGUUAUUUUAUUUUAUUUUCAAUGCAAAAUGUAAUUAAAAAUAAGACAAAGAAAUUACUUAAAAACUAUUAUUUAAGCCAAAUUUAUUUAUUUAUUUCCUUUUAUUUUUGGAAAUAAAGAAAAAAGAAUAAAAAAUUUAUUUAACCAUAAGAAAUAUGAAUAUAAGAUCAGUUGGAAAAUUUUAAAUUUAUUUAUUUAUUUCAUUUUAUUUUUGGAAUUAAAGAAAUAAAAAAUUAAAAAUUUAUUUAAUCAUAAAAAAUAUUGAUAUAAGAUAUAUUAAAAAAUAGAAAUAACCCCAAAUUUAUUUACUUAUUUCAUUUUAUUUAUUAAAUUAGAAAUUAAUUUAUUUUAAUAGAUUAAAAUGUGCACAAUUUAUUUAUUACUUUGUUAAUUAUGGAUAUAUUAAAAUUUUCGAUAAAAAAUAAAUAAAGAAAAUAAAAUUAAAAAGAGUAAUAAAUAUAUAUAAUUUAGUUAUUUAAUUAUUUUUCAUGUAAAAGAUGGUCCCACAAAAAACAUAUAAUUGAUCAAUUUCUUUGUUUAAUCAUAAACAUACUAUUUUUUUUAUUAUUAAAAUAAAUAAUGAAAAAAAAUAAAAAUGGAUAAUCAAUGAAUGAAAUUUAGUUCUUUUUAUUAUUUUCAUAUAAAAAAUAGUACUAAAUAAGGUUUUCAAUUUUUAUUUUUUAAAAUAGUUUUCAUUUUUUAAUUAAAUGUUUUUUCAAAAAGAAAAUAUAAAAAAUAUAAAUCAUAUUACUAUUUUUUAGAAAGUAUUUUUUAAAAUAGCUUUCGAACAUAAUUUUUCUUUAUUUAUAAUUUAAAAUAGAAAAUAAUGUUGAUUUUCAAUUAUUUAUAAAAAAAUUAAAAUAAUGAAAAAUCCAAAUUGUUAAAAUAGAAUUAUUAUGGUUGCAUGAAUAAUGGUGCAAUAAAGACAAAAAAAAAAGUUUAUGUGAAAUGUCAUUGGGUAUUUUAGUCCAUCACUAUUUAAUGUCCUUAAAAGGUAAUGUAUAGAAAUUUGAAGGAUAUAUUGGUCUUUUAACAUCUCAUAUCCUUUCCAUCAAUUAUGGAAGUUAUAUAGACCAAAUGUUAAUUUUUGGGCCCAAUUGGGCCCAAAACACAAUUCUCCCCUCGAAAUAUGGUAGUAUAGAUAGAUGCUUAAGCUGGAAAAACACCGACAGAUCGAUCUAACCAUGGCGGUGCCACACUCCAGCAGUCUUCUUCAAUACCUAAAUGUUACCACGAUCGGAGUGCUUGGCAUACUUUUUCUUUCCUACUAUCUAUUAGUACGGAGAUCCAGAGCUGGUAAGAGAAGAAUAGGACCUGAAGCAGCUGGUGCAUGGCCAAUAAUCGGUCACCUACACCUCUUAGGUGGGUCACAGCUCCCUCAUGUAACAUUGGGAACCAUGGCCGACACAUAUGGGCCGGUCUUCACAAUUCGUCUUGGGGUGCAUCGAGCUUUGGUGGUGAGUAGCUGGGAGAUGGCUAAAGAAUGCUUGACCACCAAUGACCAGGCUGCAUCCUCGCGUCCCGAACUUUUAGCCUCAAAACAUUUGGGCUACAACUACUCCAUGUUUGGUUUCUCUCCGUACGGUUCUUACUGGCGUGAAGUGCGCAAGAUAAUCAGCCUAGAGCUACUCUCUAACCGCCGCCUAGAGCUGCUGAAGGACGUCCGAGCUUCAGAAGUGGUGACAUCUAUAAAAGAGCUAUACGAGCUCUGGGAAGAGAAAAAAAAUGAAUCGGGCCUUGUCUCGGUGGAGAUGAAGCAGUGGUUUGGAGACUUGACUCUGAACGUAAUUCUUAGGAUGGUGGCAGGGAAGCGUUAUUUCAGUGCUUCAGAUGCAAGUGAAAAUAAACAGGCGCAGAGGUGCCGGAGAGUGUUCAGGGAAUUCUGUCAUUUGUCAGGGCUCUUUGCGGUGGCGGACGCUAUUCCUUUUCUUGGAUGGCUAGACUUGGGGAGACAUGAGAAGACCCUAAAGAAGACAGCAAAAGAAAUGGACAGUAUUGCUCAAGAAUGGUUAGAGGAGCACCGUCGGAGGAAAGACUCCGGUGAAGUUAAUAGUACGCAAGACUUCAUGGAUGUGAUGCUGUCAGUUCUUGAUAGCAAAAACCUUGGUGAUUACGAUGCUGAUACCGUCAAUAAAGCCACAUGCCUGGUAUACAUUAUUGGAACACCCACAUAUCAUAUAUAUUUGCAUAUUAUCAGGGCUAGCUUUAUUUCCAUAGGUACUUCUCUUAAUUUUGAAGUGUUACACUGCAAUAAUCAAAUAAAUUUUA